UUUUUUUUUGUGUUUCGUUUUUGCGUUUGUGCCAAGCAAACCCGUUAUGAUUAGUCUUGGGGAUGAUCGUUUGGUCAUGCUGGAAAAGACAGAAACUUUCUGCUCACGAAAAGUUUUUUUUCUUUUUGUAAGAGAUUUUGAGUUGAUUCUUUUUGCUGCUGAUUUCUACGCAAAUUCUUCAGACUAUCGUAAUGUUUCAGAAUUUUGGAAGUACCAGAGGUAUACGAAAUAUACAGAUUGCUACAGACUGGUUUGCUGUUAACAGAUUCUGUUUUUGUUGUGUUGGUUGCUUAUUUUGAUGAAACUAUGUAUAGUAUCGGGGGGUAUUAGCCAUGGAAGAUUGAAAGUACAGUAACCCAACAUCAGCACAAGUAGAAUUUAAGUUUUCUACAGUACCUAAGGAAGUGGUGGUUUCCUUUCUUGUACUAAGGUUAUCACGAGUUUCUGUUUAAGUUUCGUGUUGUGAAGUUUUCAAGUUUUGGGUGAAGUUCUUAUGGACAAAGAAAUAAAUACUGGCAAUAGCUCAAGCUUGGGUAUGCCCAAGGCACCCCAAGAGAUUCAAGGAUGCCGUAAAAUCCUAAGCUUGGGGAUGACCCGGGAAGGCAUCCCCUCUCUCGUCUUCAAUCCAUCGGUAACGUUACUUGGGGCUAUAUUUUUAUUCACCACAUGUUAUGUGUUUUUUGCUUGGAGCGUCUUGUAUCUUAGGAGUCUUUUAUUUUUUUUGUGUCACAAUCAUCCUUGCUGCACACCUAGAGAGGGAGACAUGCACACACCAUGAUUUUGUCGAGCUUCACUUAUAUCUUUUGGUAGACAAUUCAGCUCACAUGUGCUUCACUUAUAUCUUUUGAGCUAGAUACUUUUGCUCUAUGUGCUUCUCUUAUAUAUUUUAGAGCACAGCGGUGCGUGGCUUGGUAGUUGAUCUAUGCUUUGAAGGUAGUCUCAAAAGGGGUAGUUAUCCAAAGGGAUACGAAAACUUCCACCUUCAUGUGCAUUGAAUACUUAGAGAAGUUUGAUUCAUCUCAAUUUGUUUUGAGUUGUAGUUAUGGUAAUAUUGAAGUCAUGCUAGUAAGGUGUUGUGGAUCUAGAAAUACUUGUGUUGAAUUUAGUGAUUCUCGUAUCAUGCACGUAUGGUGAACCGCUAUGUGAUGAAAUCUGAGCAUGAUUAGUAUAUUGAUUGUCAUCCUUUGCGUGGCGGUCGGGAUCGCGCGAUGGUUUAUACCAACCAACCCUUCCCCUAGGAGUAUGCGAUGAAUGCUUGUUUCGAUUACUAAUAAAACUUUUGCAACAAGUAUAUGAGUUCUUCAUGACUAAUGUUGAGUCCAUGGUUUAGAUGCACUUUCUCCUUCCACCAUCACUAUCUUCUUAGUGUCGUGCAACUUUCGCCGGUGCACAAAACCCACCAUUAGCCUCCCUCAAAAUAGCCACCAUACCUACCCAUUAUGGCUUUUUCAAAGUCAUUCCGAGAUAUAUUGCCAUGCAACUACCACCAUGACAUGUACCACCACGUCUACAUUGCCAUUGCAUGAUCAUAAGAUAGCUAGCAUGAUGAUUCCAUUGAUGUCUAUGCCAUGCUAGAUCAUUGCCACGGUACACUAUCGAAGGAUUCCAUAUAGAGUCAUAGUUGCUCUAAGUUUUGAGUUGAAAGUGUGAUGAUCAUCAUUAAUGGAGCAUUGUCCCAUGUGAGGAAAUAAAAGAGGCCAAAGAAGCCCUCCAAAAAAAAGAGGCCAAAGAUCCCACCAAAUAAAAAGAAAUGAGAUAAAAAGAGAGAAGGGACAAUGCUACCAUUUUUUCCACACUUGUGCAUAUUAAGCACCAUGAUCUUCAUGAUUGAGAGUCUCUCGUUUUGUCACCACCAUAUAGCUAGUGGGAAAUUUUCAUUACAUAACUUGGCUUGUAUAUUCCAAUGAUAGGCUUCCUCAAAAUUGCCUUAGGUCUUCGUGAUCAAUCAAGUUGGAUGCACACCCACUAGUUUUCUUUAAGAGCUUUCACAUACUCGUAGCUCUAGUGUAUCAUUUGUAUGGCAAUCCCUACUCAUUCACAUUGAUAUCUAUUUAUGAGCAUCUCCACAGCUCAUUGAUAUGCCUAGUUAAUGUGACUAUCUUCUCCUUUUUUUGUCUUGCAACCUCCACUACAUUCCACACCAUCUAUAGUGCUAUAACCAUGGCUCACGCUCAUGUAUUGCGUGAGAGUUGAAAAGGUUUGAGAAAGUAAAGGUGUGAAACAAUUACUUGGCCAAUACCGGGGUUGUGCAUGAUUUAAAUUCGUUGUGCAAUGAUGAUAGAGCAUAGCCAGACUAUAUGCUUUUGUUGGGAUAACUUUUUUUUGGCCUUGUUAUUUUGAAAGUUCAUGAUUACCUUGCUAGUGUGCUUGAAUUAUUAUUGUUUCCACGUCAAUAGCAAACUAUUGUUUUGAAUCUAAUGGAUCUGAACAUUCACAUCACAUAAGAGGAAUUACAAAGGACACCUAUGCUAGGUAGCAUGAAAGCAUCAAAAAUUCAUUCUUAUCACUUCCCUACUCGAGGACGAGCAGGUGUUAAGCUUGGGGAUGCUUGAUAUGUCACAAACGUAUCUAUAAUUUUUGAUGGUUUCACGCUGUUAUCUUGUCUUCUUUGGUUUUUUAUGUACCUUUUAUAUCUUUUUUGGGCCUAGCUUAUUAAUUCAGUGCCAAGUGUCAGUUCCUGUUUUUCCGUGUUUUUGACUCUUUUCAGAUCUGAUUUUGGAACGGAGUCCAAACGGAAUAAAAACCCCGAAAUGAUUUUUUUCCGGAACACAAGAAGACCAGGGGGCUUUUGGGCCAAGCCAGGUGGUCUCUAGGGAGCCCACAAGCCCCCACUCCGCCACCAGGGGGAGGCGGCGGUGGGCAGGCUUGUGGCCUCCCUGGCCGCCCCCUGACCUAGGUCUUUGGCCUAUAAAUUCCCAAAUAUUCCGCAUAAAAUCAGGGGAGCGUCGAAAAUACUUUUCCGCCGUCGCAAGCUUCCGUUUCCGCGAGAUCUCAUCUGGAGACCCUUCCCGGUGCCCUGCCGGAGGGGACUUUGGAGUUGGAGGGCUUCUUCAUCAUCAUCAUCGCCCCUCCAAUGACUCGUGAGUAGUUCACUUCAGACCUACGGGUCCGUAGUUAGUAGCUAGAUGGCUUNNNNNNNNNNNNNNNNNNNNNNNNNNNNNNNNNNNNNNNNNNNNNNNNNNNNNNNNNNNNNNNNNNNNNNNNNNNNNNNNNNNNNNNNNNNNNNNNNNNNNNNNNNNNNNNNNNNNNNNNNNNNNNNNNNNNNNNNNNNNNNNNNNNNNNNNNNNNNNNNNNNNNNNNNNNNNNNNNNNNNNNNNNNNCCGAUGUAAUCUUCUUUGGCGGUGUGUUUGUCGAGAUCCGAUGAAUUGUGGAUUUGUGAUCAGAUUAUCUAUGAUAUAUAUUUGAGUCUUUGCUGAUUUCUUAUAUGCAUGAUUUGAUAUCCUUGUGAGUCUCUCCGAGUCUUGGGUUUUGUUUGGCCAACUAGAUCUAUGAUUCUUGCAAUGGGAGAAGUGCUUGGUUUUGUGUUCUACCAUGUGGUGACCUUGCCCAGUGACAGUAGGGGCAGCAAGGCACACAUCAAGUAGUUGCCAUCAAGGGUAAAAAGAUGGGUUUUUUAUCAUUGGUUUGAGAUUAUCCCUCUACAUCAUGUCAUCUUGCUUAAGGCGUUACUCUGUUCUUAUGGACUUAAUACACUAGAUGCAUGCUGGAUAGUGGUUGACGUGUGGAGUAAUAGUAGUAGAUGCAGAAAGUAUCGAUCUACUUGUUUUGGACGUGAUGCCUAUAGAUAUAAUCAUUGCAUAGAUAUCGUCACGACUUUGCGCGGUUCUAUCAAUUGCUCAACAGUAAUUUGUUCACCCAUCGUCUACUUGCUUUCAUGAGAGAAGCCACUAGUAAACACUACGCCCCCCGGGUCUAUUCACAUCCAUCGUUUACACCUCCGCUUUUACUUUGCUUUGUUACUUUGUUGCUUUCAGUUCUCACUUGGCAAACAAUCUAUAAGGGAUUGACAACCCCUUCAUAGCGUUGGGAGCAAGCUUUUGUGUUUGUGCAGGAUCUUGUGAUACUCCUCCACCGGAUUGAUACCUUGGUUCUCAAACUGAGGGAAAUACUUACCGUCACUGUGCUACAUCACCCUUUCCACUUCAAGGGGACACCAACGCAAGGCUCCAAGGCCACGGGGGAAAUCCUUUGCAUACUUGCCUAGGAAGUCCCUUAAGGCGUAGCCGCAGCUGAAGGAUUCCUCGUGACGUCGACACACCUGUUUCUGGCGCCAUUGGAAGGACUUUUGUGCAUUAGCAUAGCUGACAUCAUACGUCUCAAACGUAUUUAUAAUUUUUGAUGGUUUCAUGCUUUAUCUUGUCAACUUCGGAUGUUUUAUAUACCUUUUAUAUCUUUUUUGGGACUAACUUAUUAAUUCAGUGCCAAGUGUCAGUUCCUGAUUUCUGUGUUUUUGACUCUUUUCAGAUCUGAUUUUGGAACGGAGUCCAAACGGAAUAAAAUCCCCGAAAUGAAUUUUUCCAGAACAGAAGAAGAUCGGGGGACUUGAGGGCAAAGGUAGGAGGCCCACACGGGGGCCACAAGCCCUGUAGUCGCGGCCAGGGGGGCCGCGGCUAUCAGGCUUGUGGCCCCCCUGGAGCUCCCCUGCCCUAGCUCUUUGGCCUAUAUAUUCCCUAAAAUCCCAGAAAAAUAAGGCGUCCACGAAACCACUUUUCCGCCGCCGCAAGCUUCCGUUUCCACGAGAUCUCAUCUGGAGACCCUUCCCGGUGCCCUGCCGGAGGGGACUUUAGAGCUGGAGGGCUUCUACAUCAACAUCAUUGCCUGUCCAAUGACUCGUGAGUAGUCUACUUCAGACCUACGGGUCCGUAGUUAGUAGCUAGAUGGCUUCUUCUCUCUCUUUUGGAUCUUCAAUACAAAGUUCUCCAUGAUCUUCAUGGAGAUCUAUCCGAUGUAAUCCUCUUUGGUGGUGUGUUUGUCGAGAUCCGAUGAAUUGUGGAUUUGUGAUAAGAUUAUCUAUGAAUUAUAUUUGAGUCUUUGCUGAUUUCUUAUAUGCAUGAUUUGAUAUCCUUGUAAGUCUCUUCGAGCCUUGGGUUUUGUGUGGCCAACUAGAUCUAUGAUUCUUGCAAUGGGAGAAGUGCUUGGUUUUGGGUUCAUACCAUGCGGUGACCUUUCCCAGUGACACAAGGGGCAGCAAGGCACGCAUCAUGUUGUUGCCAUGAAGGGUAACAAGAUGGGCUUUCAUCAUAGAUUUGAGAUUGUCCAUCUACAUCAUGUCAUCUUGCUUAAGGCGUUACUCUGUUCUUAUGAACUCAAUACACUAGAUGCAUGCUGGAUAGCGGUCGACGUGUGGAGUAAUAGUAGUAGACGCAGAAAAUAUCGGUCUACUUGUUUUGGACAUGAUGCUUAUAUGUAUGAUAAUUGCCAUAGAUUACGUCAUGACUUUGCGUGGUUCUAUCAAUUGCUCGACAGUAAUUCCUUCACCCACCGUCUACUUACUUUCAUGAGAGAAGCCACUAGUGAACACUACGACCCCCGGAUCUACUCACAAUUAUCAUCUCCGCUUUUACUUUUACUUUGCUUUGUUUACUUUUUGCUUUCAGUUCUCACUUUGCAAAUAAUCUAUAAGGGAUUGACAACCCCUUCAUAGCGUUGGGUGCAAGCUCUUUGUGUUUGUGCAGGUACUUGUGACUUGACGCGAUCCUCCUACUGGAUUGAUACCUUGGUUCUCAAACUUUGGGAAAUACUUACCGCCGCUGUGCUACAUCACCCUUUCCUCUUCAAGGGAACACCAACGCAAGGCUCCAAGGCCGCGGGGGAAUCCUUUGCAUACUUGCCAAGGAAAUCCCUAUAGGCGUAGCCUGCAGCAGAAGGAUUUAUGGCACCGUUGCCGAGGAGAGAUCAAGUCAAGAUCUAUCCAAGUAAGUGUCACAAACUCAUCUCUUGCAUUUACCCUUUUUGCUAGUUACCUCUCGUUUUCCUCUCCCCCACUUCACAUUUGCCGUUUUCAUUUGCCUUUCUCCUUUACCGUUUUCAUUUGCCUUUUUCCUUUCUCCUUUGCCGUUCACUUUUGUCUUUUGCCUUCUUUUUCCGCCCGUUUUUCUCGCUUGCUCUUGGGCUUGUUCGUGAGAGACCUUUCAUCAUGGCCAAACCAAAUUAUUUCAGAAGGUUGGAAGAGAUUGAAACUGGUGUCAAAGGUUUCAUGUCUUCUCAGUUUGACCAAAAUAGUUACUUCCGUAGGGAAUUAAAAGAGCAAAAUUCUUUUAUGGCCUGUUUGAAUAAAGAAGUUGAUGAUAUGGCCAAAGAAUUCCUUGCACUAAAUUCUCAGCUUGCUCAUCUUGAAAAAUUGGUGGGCCAAAUUUCUGACAAGCAAGCUACCUUAGUCAAUAAGAUGGCAGCUAAACCUGAAAUUUGUGAUGCAAAUCACGAAGAUCUUAAAGUCCUUGGUGUGACUCCUCUUGAAUCUUUGUUUUCGCAUGUCAAACCUAUUGAUGAAGGGGCUGGAUAUGAAUCCACUUUGGUUGAAAAAUGCCCCUAUGAUUCGGAGUCCACCUAUCUUGAUGAUAAAGGUGUGGAGAGUGGAGUAGAAGAAAUCAAAAUAUUGGGUAGUAAUGAAACUCCCACUUUGGAUUUCAAGGGAUUCAAUUAUGAUAGUUGCUCCUUGUUUGAAUGCAUUUCCUUGAUGCAAUCCAUUGCAAACUCUCCACAUGCUUAUAGCCAAAGCAAAGCCUUUACCGCUCAUAUCGUAGAUGCUAUGAUGAAAUCUCUUGAAGAGAAACUCGAAUUAGAAGUCUCUGUACCUAGAAAACUUCACGAUGAGUGGGAACCUUACUAUCAAAAUCAAAAUCAAAAACUAUGAAUGCAAUGCUUUGUGUGAUUUGGGUGCUAGUGUUUCCGCGAUUCCAAAGUCUUUAUGUGAUAUUCUUGGUUUUCAUGAGAUUGAAGAGUGUUCUCUUAAUUUGCAUCUUGCGGAUUCUACUAUCAAGAAACCCAUGGGAAGGAUCAACGAUGUUCUUAUUGUUGCAAAUAAGAACUAUGUACCCGUGGAUUUCAUUGUACUUGACAUAGAUUGCAAUCCUUCAUGUCCCAUUAUUCUUGGUAGACCUUUCCUAAGGACUAUUGGUGCUAUCAUCGAUAUGAAGGAAGGGAAUAUUAGAUUUCAAUUUGCUCUAAAUAAGGGCAUGGAGCAUUUUCCUAGAAAGAAAAUAAGAUUGCCUUAUGAAUCUAUGAUGAGGGCUACUUAUGGUUUGAGCACCAAAGAUGACUAUACGUGAUUCCAUCACCUUAUGCCUAGCUAAGGGCGUUAAACAAUAGCGCUUGUUGGGAGGCAACCCAACGAAUCUAUCCUUUUUCUUUCUGUUUUGUGUUUUCCACACUUUCACAAUUCUGUUAUGAUUGUGUCUUUUAUGUUUCUUUUGCGUUUGUGCCAAGUAAAACCGUUAUGAUUAGUCUUGGGGAUGAUCGUUUGAUCAUGCUGGAAAAGACAGAAACUUUCUGCUCACGAAAGUAAUUUUCAUUUUUUUUUCUGUGAGAGAUUUUGAGUUGAUUCUUUUUGUUGUUGAUUUCUAUGCAAAUUCUUUAGACUAUCGUAAUUUGUGAGAAUUUUUGAAGUACCAGAAGUAUAUGAAGUAUACAGAUUGCUACAGACUGGUCUGCUGUUAACAGAUUCUAUUUUUGUUGAGUUGGUUGCUUAUUUUGAUGAAACUAUGGAUAGUAUCGGGGGGGGGGGGUAUUAGCCAUUGAAGAUUGAAAAUACAGUAACCCAACAUCAACAUAAGUAGAAUUUAAGUUUGCUACGGUACCUAAGGAAGUGGUGAUUUGCUUUCUUAUACCAAUGAUAUCACGAGUUUCUGUUUAAGUUUCGUGUUGUGAAGUUUUCAAGUUUUGGGUGAAGUUCUUUUGGACAAAAAGAUAAAGAGUGGCAAGAGCUCAAGCUUGGGGAUGCCCAAGGCACCCCAAGUUGAUUCAAGGAUGUCGAAAAAGGCUAAGCUUGGGGAUGCCCCGGGAAGGCAUCCCCUCUUUCAUCUUCAAUCCAUCGGUAACAUUACUUGGGGCUAUAUUUUUAUUCACCACAUGUUAUGUGUUUUGUUUGGAGCGUCUUGUAUCAUAGGAGUCUUUUAUUUUUUUUGUGUCACAAUCUUCCUUGCUGCACACCUGGAGAGAGAGACAUGCACUCACCGUGAUUGUGUCGAGCUUCACUUAUAUCCUUUGGUUUGGCAAUUCAGCUCACAUGUGUUUCACUUAUAUCUUUUGAGCUAGUUGAUUUUUCUCUGUGUGUUUCACUUCUAUAUUUUAGUGCAGGGAAGUGCGUGGCGUGGUAGUUCAUCUAUGCUAUGAAAGUAGUCUCAAAAGGGGUAGUUAUCCAAAGGGAUAUGAAAACUUCCACCUUCAUGUGCAUUGAGUAGUUAGAAAAGUUUGAUUCAUCUCAAUUAGUUUUGAGUUGUGGUUGUGGUGAUAUUGAAGUUAUACUAGUAAGGUGUUGUGGAUCUAGAAAUACUUGUGUUGAAGUUAGUGAUUCCCGUAGCAUGCACGUAUGGUGUACCGCUAUGUGAUGAAGUCUGAGCAUGAUUAGUUUAUUGAUUGCCAUCCUUUGUGUAGCGGUCGGGAUCGCGCGAUGGUUUAUACCUACCAACCCUUCCCCUAGGAGUAUCCGUUGAAUGCUUUGUUUUGAUUACUACUAAAACUUUUGCGACAAGUAUAUGAGUUCUUCAUGACUAAUGUUGAGUCCAUGGUUUAGAUGCACUUUCACCUUCCACCAUCACUAUCUUCUUUAGUGCCGUGCAACUUUCGCCGGUGCAUAAAACCACCAUUAGCCUCCCUCAAAACAGCCACCAUACCUACCUACUAUGGCUUUUUCAAAGCCAUUCCGAGAUAUAUUGCCAUGCAACUACCACCAUGACAUGUGCCACAGCUUCUACAUUGCCAUUGCUUGAUCAUAACAUAGCUAGCAUGAUGUUUCCAUUGAUGUCUAUGCCAUGCUAGAUCAUUGUCACGAUAUACUACCGAAGGCAUUCCAUAUAGAGUCAUCAUUGCUCUAAGUUUUGAGUUGUAAGUGUGAUGAUCAUCAUUGAUGGAGCAUUGUCCCAUGUGAGGAAAUAAAAGAGGCCAGCAAAGUCCAUUUACAAAAAAAGAGGCCAAAGAUGCCCACAAAAAAAAGAGGCCAAAGAGGCCACCAAAAAAAUGAGAGAAAAAGAGAGAAGGGACAAUGCUACUAUCUUUCCACACUUGUGCUUAUUAAGCACCAUGAUCUUCAUGAUUGAGAGUCUCUCGUUUUGUCACCACCAUAUAGCUAUUGGGAAAUUUUCAUUAUAUAACUUGGCUUGUAUAUUCCAAUGAUGGGUUUCCUCAAAAUUGCCUUAGGUCCCCUGGAGCUCCCCUGCCCUAGCUCUUUGGCCUAUAUAUUCCCUAAAAUCCCAGAAAAAAUAAGGGCGUCCACGAAACCACUUUUCCUCCGCCGCAAGCUUCCGUUUCCACGAGAUCUUAUCUAGAGACCCCUCCCAGUGCCUUGUCGGAGGGGACUUUGGAGCUGGAGGGCUUCUACAUCAACAUCAUUGCCUCUCCAAUGACUCGUGAGUAGUCUACUUCAGACCUACGGGUCCGUAGUUAGUAGCUAGAUGGCUUCUUCUCUCUCUUGGAUCUUCAAUAUAAAGUUCUCCAUGAUCUUCAUGGAGAUCUAUCCGAUGUAAUCCUCUUUGGCGGUGUGUUUGUUGAGAUCCGAUGAAUUGUGGAUUUGUGAUCAGAUUAUCUAUGAAUUAUAUUUGAGUCUUUGCUAAUUUCUUAUAUGCAUGAUUUGAUAUCCUUGUAAGUCUCUCCGAGUCUUGGGUUUUGUUUGGCCAACUAGAUCUAUGAUUCUUGCAAUGGGAGAAGUGCUUGGUUUUGGGUUCAUACUGUGCGGUGACCUUUCCCAAUGACAGAAGGGGCAGCAAGGCACGCAUCGUGUUUUUGCCAUCAAGGGUAACAAGAUGGGUUUUCAUCAUAGAUUUGAGAUUGUCCAUCUACAUCAUGUCAUCUUGCUUAAGGCGUUACUCUGUUCUUAUGAACUCAAUACACUAAAUGCAUGCUGGAUAGCGGUCGACGUGUGGAGUAAUAGUAGUAGACGCAGAAAGUAUCGGUCUACUUGUUUUGGACGUGAUGCCUAUAUGUAUGAUCAUUGCCAUAGAUAACGUCAUGACUUUGCGCGGUGCUAUCAAUUGCUCGACAGUAACUCGUUCACCCACCGUCUACUUCUUUUCAUGAGAGAAUCUACUAGUGAACACUACGGCCCCCGGGUCUACUCACAAUUAUCAUCUCCACUUUUACUUUUACUUUGCUUUGUUUACUUUUUGCUUUCAGUUCUCACUUUGCAAACAAUCUAUAAGGGAUUGACAACCCCUUCAUAGCGUUGGGUGCAAGCUCUUUGUGUUUGUGCAGGUACUUGUGACUUGACGCGAUCCUCCUACUGGAUUGAUACCUUGGUUCUCAAACUGAGGGAAAUACUUACCGCCGCUAUGCUACAUCACCCUUUCCUCUUCAAGGGAACACCAACGCAAGGCUCCUAGGCCGCCGGGGAAUCCUUUGCAUACUUGCCAAGGAAAUCCCUAUAGCCGUAGCCAGCAGCACUGGACAAGCCUCCCCCAAGCUUGUGGGAUAUUCUCUUCUUCAACUUGCACAAAGUUAUAUAUAUCCUGCAAGGCAGCUUGUUUCUUAUGGGAAGAAAAAAUUUCUGAGAGAAGUAGUAGAUCAUAUCCUGGGGACUACGCACACAACAAGGAGCAAGAGAAGUGAACCAAGUCUUAGCAUCAUCCUUUAGCAAGAAAGGAAACAGCUUAAGGAUAUAGUAGUGGAGGAUGUUUUCCUCACUCGUGAAUAGGGUGUCUAUAUCGUGCAACUUAGUAAGAUGUGCUACAACCAUUUCAGACUCAUAACCAUGAAAAGGAUCAGACUCGACCAAAGUGAUUAACUCAGGAUCGAAAGAGAAUUCAUAAUCGUUAUUGGUCACAAAGAUGGGUGAAGUAGCAAACUUAGGAUCGCAUUUCAUCCUAGAAUUCAGAGAUUUUUCUUUCCACUUGCGCAAUAAAUUCUCAAGAUCAUAGCUAUCCUUACAAGCAAGAAAGUCCUCAGCUACCUCUCCCUCCAUAACAUAACCCUCAGGUAUAUCAGGCAAUUCAUAUCUAGGAGAGCUAGUUCUAACAGGUGAAACAACAGGUUCUACUUCAAUAAUUUCGGCAGAAAAUAGUCUUGAUAACCCACAAGUAUAGGGGAUCGCAAUAGUUUUUGAGGGUAGAGUAUUCAACCCAAAUUUGUUGAUUCGACACAAGGGGAAGCAAACCAAUAUUCUCGAGUAUUAGCGGUUGAGUUGUCAAUUCAACCACACCUGAAAGACUUAGUAUCUGCAGCAAAGUUUCAGUAGCAAAGUAGCGUGAUAGCAAAGGUAGCAAUGGUAACAGUAGCAGCAGUGAUAGCAGUAGCGGCAAAGUAACAUAGCAAGGACCAGUAGGAAAAGACUCGUAGGCAUUGGAUNNNNNNNNNNNNNNNNNNNNNNNNNNNNNNNNNNNNNNNNNNNNNNNNNNNNNNNNNNNNNNNNNNNNNNNNNNNNNNNNNNNNNNNNNNNNNNNNNNNNNNNNNNNNNNNNNNNNNNNNNNNNNNNNNNNNNNNNNNNNNNNNNNNNNNNNNNNNNNNNNNNNNNNNNNNNNNNNNNNNNNNNNNNNNNNNNNNNNGGGAGAUAUGUAACUAGCUCCAGUUCGUCAAUGUAAUGUAGGCAUGCAUUCCGUAUAUAGUCAUACGUGCUUAUGGAAAAGAACUUGCAUGACAUCUAUUGUCCAUCCCUCCCGUGGCAGCGGGGUCCUAAUGGAAACUACGGGAUAUUAAGGUUCUCCUUAUAAUAGAGAACCAGAACAAAGCAUUAGCACUUAGUGAAUACAUGAACUCCUCAUACUAUGGUCAUCUCCGGGAGUGGUUCCGGCUAUUGUCACUCCGGGGUUGCCGGGUCAUAACCCAUAGUAGGUGACUACANNNNNNNNNNNNNNNNNNNNNNNNNNNNNNNNNNNNNNNNNNNNNNNNNNNNNNNNNNNNNNNNNNNNNNNNNNNNNNNNNNNNNNNNNNNNNNNNNNNNNNNNNNNNNNNNNNNNNNNNNNNNNNNNNNNNNNNNNNNNNNNNNNNNNNNNNNNNNNNNNNNNNNNNNNNNNNNNNNNNNNNNNNNNNNNNNNNNNNNNNNNNNNNNNNNNNNNNNNNNNNNNNNNNNNNNNNNNNNNNNNNNNNNNNNNNNNNNNNNNNNNNNNNNNNNNNNNNNNNNNNNNNNNNNNNNNNNNNNNNNNNNNNNNNNNNNNNNNNNNNNNNNNNNNNNNNNNNNNNNNNNNNNNNNNNNNNNNNNNNNNNNNNNNNNNNNNNNNNNNNNNNNNNNNNNNNNNNNNNNNNNNNNNNNNNNNNNNNNNNNNNNNNNNNNNNNNNNNNNNNNNNNNNNNNNNNNNNNNNNNNNNNNNNNNNNNNNNNNNNNNNNNNNNNNNNNNNNNNNNNNNNNNNNNNNNNNNNNNNGGCGGCGGCUCCGUAUCAGAAAACGCGAUGAACUCUUCUCUCUGAUUUUUUUCCGGGCGAGAGAGAAUAUAUAGAGCUGGAAUUGGAGGCGGCGGAGCCCCGAGGGGCUCACAAGCCUGUCAGGCGUGGCCAGGGGGGCGCGCCUCCUGGGCUUGUGGGCUCCUCGCUCUAUCCCUCCAGGUAAUUCUUGCACCGGUAUUUUUUAUAUAUUCCAUAAAAAAUCCUCAUAAAUUUCGAGGUCAUUCCGAGAACUUUUAUUUCUGCGCAAAAACAACACCAUGGCAAUUCUGCUGAAAACAGCGCCAGUCCGGGUUAGUUCCAUUCAAAUCAUGCAAACUAGAGUCCAAAACACGGGAAAAAGAGUUUGGAAAAGUAGAUACGAUGGAGACGUAUCAGUUAUCAUAAUGCAACAAAACUCGCUUGUAUCGAGCUAAAAAUUAAGUCGAGUGUUGAUCUGUCAAACUGAAUAAUCUUGACCCAAGAAUAGAAUCACCCAUUUAGGUCUUAUCUCUACCUCUCAGGGAGGAAAAAAUGGUACUCUAUCUAUUCUUUUAAUUUCCGGUUGUUAGUUGUGCCCGGUACGGUUCUCGAUCUCUAUUACUGUGGGUAAACCGAGGUUGGUCUCCAUCCCAUCGAGUGGGAUACUACCUUCUAGAUCCAUAGAUGGACCUGUUGUGACAUGUUCUGUUGUCCAAGUCGUGUUGUAGAUCAUGUCUGCCCCUGGUUUGCACAUGUUCCUUUCCUUUCCUGCGGAGAGGCUUGGGUCUAUACUCGGGUUCUCUAGUCGCUCUAUCGCGCCCUCGGGGUGGGCGAUCGGGAUGAUCGUACUAUGUGUGCCUGGGGGGCCCGGGCUCUGGGGCCUCCUCAUCAAACUGAGGUAGCAGGCGCCAGCGUGGGUAGCUUUGGUUUUGAUUCAGCAACUCGGUGCCAUAUCCUUCUUCAGCUAUGCUUACUUUCGUCCAUCUAUUGUUGAUGGUAUCUUGUUCGGCUUGGAGCCGUUGUUGCUUUGCUUUUAUGUUGCGGGCGGUAGAUAUGAGCUAACUCCUGAAGCAUUCGUGACCCUCAAGGUCCUUAGGAACUAUGAAGUCUUCGGCCUCUAAGUUGUCUUACGCGUCAACAAGGGGAGGUAGUUGUCGUCAUCUGAAUCGUCGGGAUCAUCAGGAUCGUGCCGGCCCUCGGGCUUGUUCAGGUCCUCCGGUGGCUGCUCGGAGCUCCGAGGUUGCCGCGGUCCUCCGGGGUUAUAUUUUCCCCGGUGCGCUGUUUAGUGUCGGUGUCAAAACCGGCGGAUCUCGGGUAGGGGGUCCCGAACUGUGGUCCUUGGAUCGAUGGGUUGCACGAGACAAAGGGGAGAAUGUUUUACCUAGGUUUGGGCCCUCUUGAGGAGGUAAAACCCUACAUCCUGUUUAAUUAUAUUGAUGGAGUAUGAGGAUUACAGAGUUGAUCUAUCUCGAGAUUGUAUGAGCUAAACCCUAGAUGAAUCAAGUUGGCUAUGCGGUUGGAACCCUCUCGCUUAUAUAGACACCACGGAUCCCUAGGGUUACAACCGACCUUUAGUGGGGGGUAGAGGUGCUGGCUUACACUACUAACCUUGGGCGAUACUCCAAUCUUCGGAGCUUGCGUUCUUGAGUACGAAGUCGUCAUGUAGUAUGAUCUUUGAUAAUGCGGCCCAUGUGGUUGACGUGUAAAAUAUGGGCCGGCCAUCCGAGGACCCCUUAGUACGGGACUCCCUCAGUAGCCCUCGAAAUUGCAUCCAAUGCUGAUGUACUUAGUCUUCGGCAGUUUCUUGCGUCCAGAGUGAUCGGCUUGCGAGGAGAGUACCUCCAUCUCCCCUUAUUUGUGAAAUGACGAUCUAGUCGUUUGAUCUGAUCUCGAUUCCUGAAGCAUCAUGGGGCCCACGGCCUCCAAGCUUUCCGCUCAAGAAUCGAUAACAACACUCGAUCCCUAUGCGCAUUAAUGAAGAUAAGCAAUCUAGCAGUCUCACUCGGACCAGCCUCUUGUAACCACGAGGGAAAAUACCAUUUAUAAAUAGAUCAAAUCUGUCCUUGGGCAACCACCAACCCUUAGGCACCACCAAGAUAAAUCCCUAGUGUUCCAUCACCGAGAGCUAUGGCGGGUUCUUCCUCGCGUCCCUUUGGCCGUCUCUCGGGAGAUUGGGCAAGAAGUUUCGUCUCCUUGCUCCAAUUGUGGAACCUUGAAGUACAAGGAUAUCUCCCCUCGUCGGAUCUCGCACCCACCCGUGUUGGACUAACCUCCGCCAAUGGUGAGGCCCUCGCACAGAAUUUCCCUUCACCCUCGAUCUGCUUUGUUUCCUUCCUGUUGUGGGGUAUGGGCUUUCCAGUCCACCCCUUCCUGAGGGGUUUACUGGAGUUCCACGGGCUUGAGCUCCACAACCAUACCCCUGGCUCAAUCCUUCACGUCUCAAGCUUUGUGGCCCUGUGUGAGAUGUUCUUCGGCUGCGAGCCCCACUUCGACCUAUGAAGAAAGUACUUCUGCCUCAUUCCCAAAACUAGGGAAACAUAAAUUCGGGAAGUGGGUGGAUGCGAAGUGUGGCGUAUAGCCGGAACCGGAUAUAUGAUCGGGACUCCAGAAAAGGAAACCAACGAGUGGUCUUCGGAAUGGUUUUAUAUUGAAGAUAUUCCCUUUUUCGACCCGGUUCGGAGCAUCCAGGACAAAGCCUUCUACUCCAAAGUCUAAGAAGCCAGUAGCUCCCAAGAAGACUACUAGGGAUAUACCUGCAGCACAGAAGAACAACCGAACAAGGGCUCUGCAUCGAGAGAUGUUGCUACAGAGGAGGAAGAAGAUGUUUCUGUGCUGAGGAAGUUGAGAGCUCAUUUGCCACUAUGCAAUGAUCCUCAUCCAGUUGCUGAGGACAUGAAGAUGAGAAGGGAUCAUGGUCUGAGACAGUGGAGAACUAUACAUCCCUAUGCUGUUAGGAGGAGAACAGUUGUUGAUCCUCAUCUUCAUGCCAAGGAGCAACAAGAUUUCUAUGAGACAGUGAGAUAUAUGUAGACUAGUAUUACAUCAAGGAACAUGAGGAUUUUUUUUGAAGAAAAACUGUAAGGUAAACCCCCCACAGCGAGUUUUUUAAAAUAAUAAGAACCCAAAUUCGCGCUCGUGGGGACCUCAACCUGGGUGGCUGGGUUGUACAUCCAUUCCACUAGCCAAGUGAGCUCGGCUCACUUCCUGAACAUGAGGAUUUCUUCCCUCAUAUGAGAUAGAACUUCAGGGCAAUUGACAUUGAAGAUUUUAUUGGCAAAGAGAUGACUGCCUGGAAUGAUGAGAUGAUCAUGCAAUUCUACUCCAUUGCACAUUUUUGUCUAGAUGGUAGGAUUGUAUGGAUGACUGAAGGUCGCACGUAUGAAUCAAAUGUGGAGGAGCGGGCUAUGAUCAUUGGUGUUCCUAAAGCCUAAGAGGGUGACUUGGAUGCGUACUCUGAGCCAAAAAUUAAUCACAACACUAUGGCUAACAUGUACAAUCCAGUGCCCCACCAGUAUGUGAGAACUCACAAGUUUGGCUUCAUCUACUUUCUGCAAGUUGGGAUACCCACCAACACCAUUAUGAGGUACACCCUAAUGCCCAAGUCAGGAGAUGAGAAGAUGAUCAUAGGGUAUUCCAUCAAUAUGUUGCACCACGUUGAUUCUCACACAAAGAUUAGAGUGAUGGAUCUGAUAGUUGAGACAGUCACGAGGACAGUUGCCGAUCAGAAGAGAUCAUGUGCAUAUGCUCCGUAAAUUCUGUUAGAAAUAUGCCCUAGAGGCAAUAAUAAAAUAGUUAUUAUUAUAUUUCCUAUUUCAAGAUAAUCGUUUAUUAUCCAUGCUAUAAGUGUAUUGAAUGGAAACAUAAAUGCAUGUGUGGAUAUAUAGACAAAACUAUGUCCCUAGUGAGUCUCUAGUUGACUAGCAUGUUGAUCAAGGAUGGUUAAGGUUUCCUAGCCAUAGACAAGUGUUGUCACUUGAUGGCAGGAUCACAUCAUUAGGAGAAUGAUGUGAUGGACAAGACCCAAACUAUAAAUGUAGCAUAUGAUUUUGUCAUUUUGUUGCUAUUGUUUUCUGCAUGUCAAGUAUUCAUUCCUAUGAACAUGAGAUCAUGUAACUCACAAACACCAGAGGAAUACCUUGUGUGUAUCAAACAUCGCAACGUUACUAGGUGACUAUAAAGGUACUCUACAUGCAUGUCCUAAGGUGUCCGUUGAGUUAGCAUGGAUCAAGACUGGGAUUUGUCACUCGGUGUGACGGAGAGUUAGUCACGGGAUGUUGUAUUACGGAACGAGUAAAGAGACUUGCCGGUAACGAUAUUGAAAUAGGUAUGGAGAUACCGACGAUCGAAUCUUGGGCAAGUAACAUACCGAAGGACAAAGGGAAUGGUAUACGGGAUUAUAUGAAUCCUUGAUAUAGAGGUUCAACCGAUAAGAUCUUUGUAGAAUAUGUAGGAUCCAAUAUGGACAUCCAGGUCCCGCUAUUGGAUAUUGACUGGAGAGUGUCUCAGGUCAUGUCUACAUAGUUCUCGAACCCGCAGGGUCUGCACACUUAAGGUUCGGUGACGUUUCGGUAUAGUUGAGUUGUAGGUGAUGGUUUCCGAAGUUUUGUUCGGAGUCCUGGACUAGAUCCCGGACGUGAUGAGGAGUUCUGGAAUGGUCUGGAAACGAAGAUUGAUAUAUAGGAAGUUGGUGUUUGGAUUCCGGAAGGAUUUCGGGCAUUACCGGAAGUGUACCGGGAGUGACGAAUGGGUACCGGGGGUCCACCAGGUGGGCCCACCACUCCCCAAGGGGGCCACGUGGACUUGAUGGUGGCACAACAGCCCUUGAUGGGCUCACUAGUCAACCAAAGAAAUACCAUGAGGAAAAAUAUGGAAAAUCCAAAAGAGGUGGAGAACUUGGGGAGGAGUCCUAAUCCAAGUAGGAUUGGAGGAGGACUCCUCCUCUCCUAGUUCGGCCGAGCCCAAGGGAGGCUCCCUUGGUGCGCAAGCUUACCCCCUCCUUCUUCCUAUAUAUAUUAGAGGUUUGAGGGUUUUUGAGACACAAUAUUCAGCCACGUGCUACCCUCUCCUCUAGUUCGCAGUUCUUCCUCUAGAUCGGAUUUCUGCGGUGCUUAGGCGAGGCCCUGCACGAAUAGAUCACCACCAUCACCGGCGCACCGUCACACUGCCAGAGAACUCAUCUACUUCCCCGUCUCUCUUGCUAUAUCAAGAAGACGGAGAUCGUCAUCGAGCUGUACGUGUGCUGAACGCGGAGGUGUCGUCCGUUCGGUGCUAGAUCGGGACGAAUCGUGGGACGGCGGCGAUUUGGAUGGCAAAGACAUUCCACUACAUCAACUGCGUUUCUUAAUGCUUCCCUCUUAGCGAUCUACAAGGGUAUGUGGAUCCGAACUCCCUCUCGUAGAUGAUCAGCAGCAUGAUGUUGGGGAACGUUGCAUGGGAAACAAAAAAAUUCCUACGCACACGAAGACUUAUCAUGGUGAUGAUCAUCUACGAGAGGGAGAUCGGAUCCACAUACCCUUGUGGAUCGCUAAGCGGAAGCGUUAAUAAACGCGGUUGAUGUAGUGGUACGUCUUCACGAUACUUCCCAUGAAUCGUCCCACGAUCCGUCCCACGAACCGCCUCACAAUCCAUCCCAAUCAAGUGCCGAACAGACGACACCUCCGCGUUCCGCACACGUAUAGCUCGAUGACGAUCUGCACCUUCUUGAUCCAGAAAGAGAGACAGGGAUGUAGAUGAGUUCCCCAGAAGCGUGAUAGCGCUCCGGUGGUGGUGGUGAUCUAUUCCUGCACGGCUCCGCCCGAGCUACGCAGAAAACCGAUAAAGAGGAAGAACUACAAGUAGAGAUUUAGGGUUGCACGUGGAAAAGUUGUGUCUGAAACAGCCCUAAACCUCUAGUAUAUGUAGGAGGAGGGAGGGGGAAGGCCUUGCGCCACAAGGGAGGAGCCCUUGGGUCGGCCGAAGUGGAGGAGGGAGGCGUCCUCCUCAAAUCCCACCUCUUUUGGAUUUUCCACUUUUUCCUCAUGGGCUUUCCUUGGAUGACUUUGUCAGCUCAUUGUGCCUUAUUGCGCAUCCAAUAAACCCACGUGGACACCUUGUGGCGUGAUGGGCCCACCCAGUGGGCCCCCGGAACCCAUUCGUCACUCCGAGUACACUGACGGCAAUGCCCAAAAACCAUCCGGAAUCCAAAUACCAACUUCCUAUAUAUUGUGACAGCCCGAUACCGACGCCCCAGAAGAUUCCCCUUUAUUUUCGUUUCCGUCGUGUGAUUAUAUUUCGUUCGUUGCAUCAUCAUUUAGUUUGCAUCAUCGCAUCAUGCAUGGCAUCUUGCAUCGUCUGUUGCGUGUGGUGUUUUGAGUGUGUGUGCUUCAAGUGCGAUAGUAACUCCUCUUCUCUCCCCUCUUGUUUAAUUUUUGUGGUUUUGCUAAAGUUUAUGUUUUAACCCCUAUUUAAAAAAGGUUUGUCUUCUUUUAAAAAAUCCUUUUAUUAAAAGUGGGGGCAACCCCUUGGGUUUUGUUUAUUUUUUUCUUUUGUUUAUUUUCAAAACUAGAGUCUCAUCUUAUUUGUUAAAAGGGGUUUUAAUUUAUUCUCUUGUAAAAAAGUUUUAUUUUAAUUCUUCAAAAGGUUUUAUUUUUUAUUCGUUUAAAAAUGCCCAAGCUAUUUUUAUAGUUGGGGUUUAUUUUUCAAAGAGCCCAAAAGCAUUUUUUUAUUAUUAUUUUAUUUUUGUUUAAUUCUUCUCGUUUCGUGAGUUUUUCUGUUUAAAAAAACAAAAACGAAGAAGGGAGAGGAGCCCAGGCUAGUGCUGUCGAGCUGGCCCAAGGCCCGCGUGGCCCCUGCCUGCGUGCCUGCCCUAGCGCCCCAGCCGAUCCCCCUAUUUCUCCUCGAUCUCCCCUGUUCCUCUCGUCUCCCCCUUCGCGCGGCCUCCUUCCUCCCCUACCGAGCCCCCUCUGUCCCGAUCCCCAUGGCCUCGCGCAGCCUCUCCCUCAGCCGAUCCCUCUCCUACCCUGCCCGCCUGCGCCUCCGUCAGCGCCGCAGCCGCCGGCGUCCCUCUCCCCUCGCUCGCCGGGGAGCAUCUCCCCUGCCCUAAGCUAGCCCCGUAGGUGCCCGAGCUGCUCGUCGCCGCUCCUCCCUCGCCACGCCGUCGGUGUGCGCCCCCGCGCGCCAGUAGGCCGUUCGCCGCUGGCUUCCCUUCGCCAUAGCCUCGCCUCGUCUCUCGCCUCGCCCCUCGUCCCUCCCGGGCUGCUUCGCCUCGCCGUGGUCUCCUGCAGCGCCACCCCGCCGGUGCUCGCCCCGCCGCCGGCCUCCACUGCUUGCUUCUCGCCGAUGCCCGACCUCGCCUCUUGCCGUGCUCGCCAGUGCGCCACCCUACCACGAUGUGCUUGCCUACCGUGGUGAUGCCGCUGUUGCGUAGCUUGCCGCAUACUGCUCCUCCCGCCGUUCCCCGCCGAGUGCUCGCGAGGUGCUAGUUGUGCUGCCGCGUACCUGUGCUGUAGCUACUCCUGGUGCCUGUAGUUGCUGCUAGGAUGGUGUUGCCCGAUGCUUGCUUGCCUGUUGCUGCCUGCUGUCCCAUUGUCGUUGCUGGUUGCUAUGAGUUGCCAUGCUAGGCUAGUUGCUUUGCUUGCUGCGCUUGCUUGCUUGCCUGCUAGUGCUAGUCGUGUAGCUGCUGCUUGUUGAUGCUAGUAGCUGCUGCUGCUAGGUUGCUAUUGCUGCUAGUUGCGCUGCUGCUAGGUUGCUAUUGCUGCUAGUUGUGUUGCUGCUGGCUGCUACUAGUUGCUGCUAGGUGGCGUAGUCUGCAUAGUUGUUGCUUGCUUGUGCUACCGCUUGCCGUCGUCGCAUGCACCAUCCCCUCCUUCUUGGACCCGACAAGAUCGUCGUGUACAACUACGUCCUCGACGACCCCCGGAACGUGUUCGACUACCGAUGUGAAGAUCGUGAACCGACACCGAAGACCCGAGUACCACGACGUCCACGAUGACAACUAGGACCACUACUUCCACGACGCCCACGAUGAUCUUUGUUCGCCUUCACCGCUACGAUCCGAACCCCUCCGAUAUGCACGCUUUGAAGGUAUACCGUUGGAACGUGUCGUGUACCGAACGCUUAUGAUGUAUGAGAUGAACCGUAUGUUUGCGUUGUAUGUUGCCCAUUGCACUUUGUCUCUCUUUCGUCGCGCCCUCGACACAUGGGAACCCGGUAGCGGGAUCACCCCAUCUUUAUUUAGCGUACCCGCACACGCUUCCAAUACGUUGACACGUUAUCUCGAUGAGUUAUCGGGAUAGGAACGUUGUCGUGGCAUCUUUCCGUCUUGCCGCCAUGCUUCCCUCUCGCUCGCCGUGGCGACACCUGUUUCUUUCUCUUCUUGCCCGUGAUGUUUGAACUUGCAUGCAUGACGCAUUCAUGGCAUAAUUACCUUGUGUUGCAUGUCUCUUGUAACGUAGCUCCGAUCUAUGUUCCGCGUGUUAAUCGACUCGGAGGACAUGUAGAACCAUCGCUUCACCCUUGCCAUGUUAACUACAAUUUAAUAUUGUCGUGUAAAUAACCGGGAGUGAUCUAAAUAAUCAAUCGUGGAAUUUCGUCGAUAUGCAACUCGUUGCAUAUCGAGCUUCACUUAAUGUGUAGUGUUUGCGUGAGGUGAGUUGCCAUGCCAUCCCGUGCAUUUUGAUCUGAUCAUGCAUCAUAUUAGGGUGUGCAUCAUGUCUUGCAUUUGGCGUGGUGAAUAUCUGUGUUGAUGUUUGUUUCCGGUUUGCUCGGUCUCGAUAGAAUUCCACAAGCGUGUCGGAAUGUGAGGCCCGUUCGACUACGUUGGUUCGCCGACUUCAUGGAGUUCUUCUUCCAAGCGGGAUCUCAGGCAAGAUGACCAUUUCCCCAGAUACCAUUACUAUCAUUGCCAUGAUAGUUUUAUCGCUUCUAUCGUUUAUGUCUCAUUGCCUACCACAUGUUUAAUAUCAGCCUCUCAACAAUGCCAUGUUAACCAUCAACCUAUUCGACCUAGCAAACCACUGAUUGGCUAUGUUACUGCUUGCUUAACCAUGUUGUUAGCGUUGCUAGUUGCAGGUGUAGUUGCUUCCAUGUGAUAACAUGGGUCCCUUAUUAUAUUAUCAUAUUUAAUGCUAUUUAAUUUAAAGCACCUAUAUACCUGGUAAAAGGUGGAAGGCUCGGCCUUUCUAGCCUGGUGUUUUGUUCCACCUUUGCCCCCUUAGUUUUCAGUUACCGGUGUUAAGUUCCAUAAAUGAGCGCUCCUAACACGAUCGGGGUUGUUAUGGGGACCCCCUUGAUAAUUUGUUUUAGAUUAAAGCUGGUCUGGCAAGGCCCAACUUUGGUACUACAUUUGCCUAAUAACUAAUGAACUCCAUGGGGAGUAAUUAACCCGAGGAAAUUUAAUCAACCCCCGGGCUAGUGCUCCUCAUGAGUGUUGGUCCAAAACAGAGCAGCUUAUUAACGCUACCCGGGGCAACUCGGCGUUUGGCGUGGUAACCAUCGCUCAUCCGUCGUGUCCUGAGAACGAGAUACGCGGCUCCUAUCGUGAUAGUCGACACGCCGGGCGGCCUUGCUGAAUUAGUUUUACCUUUGAUGGAAUAUCUUGUGCAUCGGGAUUCCGGUGAUGCUUUGGGUAAUCUCAGAGUUGAGGUUUUCCACUAGGGAAUCCGAUGGGAUCGCGAGCUUCGUGAUUGAGGAUUUCUAUGUGGCUUGUGGUAAUUUGUGAUGGACUAGUUGGAGCACCCCUNNNNNNNNNNNNNNNNNNNNNNNNNNNNNNNNNNNNNNNNNNNNNNNNNNNNNNNNNNNNNNNNNNNNNNNNNNNNNNNNNNNNNNNNNNNNNNNNNNNNNNNNNNNNNNNNNNNNNNCUAGUUGGAGCACCCCUACAGGGUUAAAUCUUUUCGGAAACUUUGUUUAACACUGGUUCUAGAUAACUUGAAGUUAACUUAAUUAAAAUAUGCCAACUGUGUGCGUAACCGUGACUGUCUCUUUUGUGAGUUCCUUGUCCGAUCGAGGACACGGUGGGGUUAUGUCUGACGUAGAUAGGUCUUCAGGAUCAUUCAUUUGAUCAACCGUAGUUCACGUUAGCUAUGCGUAGAUCUUGCCCUCUCUUAUUUCUUGUACUCGUAAGUUUAGCCACCAAAUAUAUGCUUAGCCGCUGCUGCAACCUCACCACUUUACCAUGCCUCACCCAUUAAGCUUUGCUAGUCUUGAUACCUUUGGAAAUGAGAUUGUUGAUUUCCCUGUGGCUCACAGAUUACUNNNNNNNNNNNNNNNNNNNNNNNNNNNNNNNNNNNNNNNNNNNNNNNNNNNNNNNNNNNNNNNNNNNNNNNNNNNNNNNNNNNNNNNNNNNNNNNNNNNNNNNNNNNNNNNNNNNNNNNNNNNNNNNNGUGGCUCACAGAUUACUACAACACCAGUUGCAGGUACAGGUAAAGGUUAUUGACGCGAGCGCGUUAAUUGUUCAUUUGGAGUUACUUCUUCUUCUUCUUCAUCAUCGAUCCAGGAUGGGUUCCAGACUGGCAGCCUGGGAUAGCAAGGAUGGACGUCGUUCUUCUUUUCUCGUUCGUUUUUCGUCUGUAGUCGGACCCUGCUCUUAUUCAUGAUGUUGAUGUAUUCUACUGAUGUGACUCCAAUGUAGCUCGUGGUGAGGGUAAGCCAAUUAUAUAUAUAUAUAAAUAUAUAUAUAUAUAUANNNNNNNNNNNNNNNNNNNNNNNNNNNNNNNNNNNNNNNNNNNNNNNNNNNNNNNNNNNNNNNNNNNNNNNNNNNNNNNNNNNNNNNNNNNNNNNNNNNNGAACUUUGUAUUGAAGACCCAAGAGAGAGAAGAAGACAUCUAGUUACUAGCUAUGGACCCGUAGGUCUAUGGUGAACUACUCACGCAUCAUCCGAGAGGUCAUGGUGUUGAUGAAGAAGCCCUCCGUAUCCGAAUCUCCCCUCCGGCAGGGCACCAGAACGUGCCCCAGAUGGGAUCUUGCUGAAACAGAAGCUUGCGGCGGCGAAAAAGUACUUUCGAUCAUCUCCUGAUUUUUUUGGGAUUUUUAGGGAAUUUAUAGGCGCAACCCCUAGGGCAGAGGGCGCCCAGGGGGGCCACAAGCCUGUGGGCCACGACCUCCUCCUGGCCGCGGGGUGGGGGCUUGUGGGGCCCCUGAGGCUCCCCUACCUUGGCUCUCAAGCUUCCCGAUCUUCUUCCGUUCCGGAAAAAUCCUUUCGGGGAUUUUCUUCCGUUUGGACUCUGUUUCAAAAUCUCCUCCGAAAGGGGUCAAAAACAUGGAAAAAAGAGGAACUGGCACUUGGCACUGAGUUAAUAAGUUAGUCCCAAAAAAUAUAUAAAAGGCAUGCAUAACAUCCAAAGUUUGACAAGAUAAUAGCAUGAAACAAUCAAAAAUUAUAGAUACGUUGGAGACGUAUCAAGCAUCCCCAAGCUUAACUCCUGCUCGUCCUCGAGUAGGAAAGUGAUAAAGAAUGAAUUUUGAUGUGGAAUGCUACCUAGCAUAGUUGUCCUUUGCAACUGCUUUCACGUGACAUGAAUGUUCAGAUCCGUAAGAUUCAAAACAAUGGUUUGCUAUUGACAUAAAAACAAUAAUACUUCAAGCAAACUAGCAAGGUAAUCAUGAACUUUCAAAAUAACAAGGCCAAGGAAAGUUAUUCCUACAAAAUUAUAUAGUCUGUCUAUGCUCCAUCAUCCCCACACAACUAAUGUAAAUCAUGCACAACCCCGAUAUUGGCCAAGUAAUUGUUUUCGCACUCUUACUUUCUCAAACUUUUUAUAACUAUCACGCAAUACAUGAGCGCGAGCCAUGGAUAUAACACUAUAGGUGGAAUAGAGUGUGGUGGUGGUUGUGAGACAAAAAGGAGGAGAUGGUCACAUUUACUUGGCAUAUCAAAGGGUUAUGGAGAUGCCCAUUAAUAGAUAUCAAUGUGAAUGAGUAGGGAUUGCCAUACAAGAGAUGCACUAGAGCUAUAAGUAUGUGAAAGCUCAAAAGGAGAACUAGUGGGUGUGCAUCCAACUUGCUUGCUCACGAAGACCUAGGGCAAUUUUGAGGAAGCCCAUCAUUGGAAUAUACAAGACAAGUUAUAUAAUGAAGAUUCCCACUAGCAUAUGGUAGUGACAAAGCAAGAAUCUCUCAAUCAUGAAGAACAUGGUGCUAUUAUGAAGCACAAGUGUGGAAAAAGAUAGUAGCAUUGUCCCUUCUCUCUUUUUCUCUCUUUUCUUUUUUUUCAUUUGAGCUCUUAGGCCUCUCUUUUUUUAUUUUCUUUUCUCCCCCUUUUUUUUGUUUUUGGGAUCAUUGGCCUCUCUUUUUUUAUUCCUCGCAUGGGACAAUGCUCUAAUAAUGAUGAUCAUCACACUUUUAUUUACUCACAGCUCAAAAAUCUAAAUGACGACUCCGUAGGAAAUGCCUCCGGCAGUGUAACAGGAUGUGCAACGAUCUAGCAUGGCGUAUGAAGUUGAAACAUCUCGCUAGCUAUCUUACGAUCAUGCAAUGGAAGUAUGAGAGUGACAGCACAAUUCAUGAGACGGAACGGUGGGAGUUUCAUGGCACUAUAUCUCAGAAUGGCUAUGAAAAUGCCAUAGUAGGUAGGUAUGGUCGCUGUUUUGAGGAAGGAAUUUGGUGGGUUUGAGCACCAGCGAGAAUUGCGCGGUACUAGAGAGGCUAGCAAUGGUGGAAGGUGAAAGUGCAUCUAUACCACAGACUCACAUUAGUCAUGAAGAACUCACAUACUUGUUGCGAAAGUUUUUAUUAGAAAUUGAAACAAAGUGCUAAACGCAUACUCCGAGGGGAAGGGUUGGUAGGUGUAAACCAUCGCGCAAUCCCGACCUCAACACAAAGGAUGACAAUCAAUAGAUCAAUUAUGCUCCGACUUCCUAACAUAGCGGUUCACCAUACGUGCAUGCUACGGGAAUCACUAACUUCAACACAAGUAUUUCUAGAUUCACAACACUCUACUAACAUAACUCUUAAUAUUACCGAAUCGACGUCUCAAAACUAAUUGAGAGGAAUCAAAACUUCUCUUUCUAUUCAAUGCACAUGAAGAUGGAGGUUUUUGCAUCCUCCUUGGAUACCUAUCACCUUUGGGACUACUUUCAUAGCAUAAGCCAACUACCAAGCCACGCACCGCCGUGCUCUAAAAGAUAUAAGUGAAGCACUAGAGCAAAAGUAUCUAGCUCAAAAGAUAUAAGUGAAGCACUAUGAGCAUUCUACCAAAAUCACGAUGACUGCAUGUCUCUCUCUCUCAAAAGGUUUGCAGCAAGGAUGAUUGUGACACAACAAAAAGAAAAGAGUCCUAAGAUACAAGACGCUCCAAGCAAAACACAUAUCAUGUGGUGAAUAAAAAUAUAGCUCCAAGUAAUGUUACCGAUGGAUUGAAGUCGAAAGAGGGGAUGCCUUCCUGGGGCAUCCCCAAGCUUAGGCUUUUUGGUGUCCUUGAAUUUGGAUUGGGAUUCCUUGGGCAUACCCAAGCUUGAGCUCUUUCCACUCCUUAUCUCAUUGUCCAUGAGAACAUCACCCAAAGCUUGAAAACUUCACAACACAAAACUUAAACAGAAACUCGUGAUAACAUUAGCACAAGAAAACAAACUACCACUUCUUUUGGUACUGUAGAAAACUUGAAUUCUAUCUAUAUUGAUGUUGGGCUACUGUAUUCUCACUUUUCCAUGGCUAGUACCUCCUGAUACUAACCAUAGUUUCAUCAAAACAAGCAACCAACUCAACAAAAACAGAACCUGUCAAAAACAGACCAGUCUGUAGCAAUCUGUAUACUUCGUAUACUUCUGGUACCUCAAAAAAUCUGAAAACUUACGAAGGCCUGGGAAAAAAGCAGAUAUACCAUCAGCAAAAAGAAUAAACUCGAAAUCUCUUUCUGAAUAAAAAUGAAAAAUGAUCUCGUGAGAGAAAAUUUUCUGUCUUUUUCCAGCAGGAUCAAAAACCAUUACCAAGACUAGUCAUAAAGGUUUUGCUUGGCUCAAACACAAAAAGAAACACAAAAAACACAAUCACAACAGAAUUAUGAAAGUGUGGACGAAACAAAACAGAAAAAAAAAGAUAAAUUCAUUGGGUUGCCUCCCAACAAGCGCUAUUGUUUAACACCCUUAGGUAGGAAUAAAAGCGAUAGAAUCACGUAUCGUCGUCUUUGGUGCUCAAACCAUAAGUGGCCCUCAUCAUGGAUUCAUAAGGAAAUCUUAUUUUCUUUCUAGGAAAGUGUUCCAUGCCAUUCCUUAAAGGAAAUUAAAAUCUAAUAUUCCCUUCCUUCAUAUCGAUGAUAGCACCGAUAGUCCUUAGGAAAGGUCUAUCAAGAAUAAUAGGGCAUGUAGGAUUGCAAUCAAUGUCAAGCACAAUGAAAUCCACGGGUACAUAGUUCCUAUUUGCAAUAAUAAGAACAUCAUUGAUCCUUCCCAUGGGUUUCUUGACAGUAGAAUCAGCAAGAUACAAAUUAAGAGAACACUCUUCAAUCUCAUUAAAACCCAGAACAUCACAUAAAGACUUUGGAAUCGCAGAAACACUAGCACCCAAAUCACACAAAGCAUUGCAUUCAUAGUUUUUGAUUUUGAUUUUGAUGGUAGGUUCCCACUCAUCAUGAAGCUUUCUAGGGAUAGAGACUUCCAAUUCAAGUUUCUCUUCAAGAUAUUUUAUCAUAGCUUCGACGAUAUGAUGGGUAAAUGCCUUGUUUUGGCUAUAAGCGUGUGGAGAGUUUAACAUGGAUUGCAUCAAAGAAAUGCAUUCAAUCAAGGAGCAACUAUCAUAAUUGAAUUCCUUGAAAUCCACGAUAGUAAUUUCAUUACUACUCAAAGUUUUAACAUCUUCUACUUCACUUUCAAUGCUUUUUAGCAUCAAGAUAGAUGGACUCCGAAUCAUUGGGGCACUUUUCAACCAAAGUGGAUUCAUAUCCAGCCCCAUAAUCAUUAGGUUUGACACGAGAAAACAAAGAUUCAAUGGGAGUCACACCAAGCACUUUAAGAUCUUCAUGAUUCUCAUUACGAGAACACGCCUUUUUAAGCCAUUCAUGUCUAGCACGAAUUUGGGCGGUUCUUUCUUGGAUCUCAUUCAUGGAAACACGCAUGGCUUUCAAAGUUUCAUCCAUGUUGAUUUUGGGAGGAGCACAUCUAACUUUCAAAGCAUCAACAUCACUAGACAUUCUAUCAACGCUCUUAGCCAAAUCGUCAAUUUUGAGUAGCUUUUCCUCUAUGGACGCAUUGAAAAUCUUUUGAGAGUUGAUGAACUCUUUGAUAUUACUCUCUAGAUCAGAGGGUAAUCUAUUGUAAUUUCCAUGAGUAUUUUUGUAGGAGUUGCCAAAGUUACUAGAGGAGUUACUAGGAAAAGCCGUAGGAACAUAGUUUCCUCUAAAAGCAUUGUUGUUGCCAAAGUUAUUCCUACCAACAAAAUUAACGUCCAAGCUAGCGUUGCUACUCUCAAUCAAAGAAGACAAGGGUAUAUCAUUAGGAUCCAAAAGAGCACUUCUACUAGCAACCAAAUUCAUUAACUCAUCCAUCUUAGCACUCAACGAGUUAAUUUCUUCCAUAGCGUGUACCUUCUUACUAGUAGGUGACCUUUCAGUGUGCCACUGAGAGUAGUUUGUCAUGAUGUUGUCUAAGUGCUUUGUGGCUUCCCCUAACGUGAUUUCCAUGAACGUUCCACCUCAGGCAGAGUCCAAGAUAUUUCUAGAAGCGAAAUUCAAGCCAGCGUAAAAGAUUUGAAUAAUCAUCCAAAGACUCAAGCCAUGAGCGGGACAAUUUCUAAUCAUUAAUUUCAUUCUCUCCCAAGAUUGUGCAACAUGUUCAUGAUCAAGUUGCUUGAAAUUCAUGAUAUCAUUACGGAGAGAGAUGAUCUUAGCCGACAGAAAAUACUUGGAUAUAUAAGCAUCUUUGCACUUAUCCCAAGAAUCGAUACUAUUUUUGGGCACAGAAGAAAACCAAGUUUUUGCGCGAUAUCGCAACGCGAAAGGAAAAAGCUUCAAUUUAAUCACGUCAUUAUCCACAUCUUUUUUCUGUUGCAUAUCACAAAGCUCAAUGAAGGUAUUGAGAUGGGAUGCGGCAUCUUCACUAGGAAGGCCAGAGAAUUGCUCUUUCAUAACAAGAUUCAGCAAAGCGGCAUUGAUUUCGUAUGACUCCGCACUAGUGGCAGGAGCAAACGGAGUACUAAUAAAAUCAUUAUUAUUUGUAUUCGAGAAGUCACAAAGUUUUGUGCUUUCGUUCAUGGUGACUUCAGCAAGCAAGCAAGCACACAAGCAAACAAAGAGCAGGCGAGAAAAAAGGGCGAACGAAAAGGCGAACGAAAAAGGCAAACGAAAAGGGCAAAUUGGUGAAGUGGGGGAGAGGAAAACGAGAGGCAACUGGCAAACAAAGUAAAUGCAAGAGGUGAGUUUGUGACACCUACUUGGAUGAGUUCUUGACUUGAUCUUCCUCCCCGACAACGGCGCCAGAAAUCCUUCUGCUACUUCUCAAACAACAGCGCCAGAAAUUGACACAUUGACGGAGACUGGGCUUGCGUUGGUUUUUCCGUUGAAGAGGAAAGGGUGAUGCAACACAGGAGCAGUAAGUAUUUCCCUCAGUUUGAGAACCAAGGUAUCGAUCCAGAAGGAGGGUCUCGUCAAGUCAAGAGUACCUGUGCAAACACAAAAAAGCUUGCACCCAACGCUUCGAAGGGGUUGUCAAUCCCUUCAAGAUUGUUUGCAAAGUGAGAUCUGAAGGCGGAAAGUGCAACGAAGUAAAAAGUGUAAGGCUGAAAAUAUGGUGUGGAGUAGACCCUGGGGGCCAUAGUGUUCACUAGAGGCUUCUCUCAAAAUAGCAAAUAUCACGGUGGGUGAACAAAUUACUGUCGAGCAAUUGAUAGAACCGCGCAAAGUCAUGUCGAUAUCUAUGGCAAUGAUCAUACAUAUAGGCAUCACGUCCGAGAAAAGUAGACCGAUACUUUCUGCAUCUACUACUAUUACUCCACACAUCGACCACUAUCCAGCAUGCAUCUNNNNNNNNNNNNNNNNNNNNNNNNNNNNNNNNNNNNNNNNNNNNNNNNNNNNNNNNNNNNNNNNNNNNNNNNNNNNNNNNNNNNNNNNNNNNNNNNNNNNNNNNNNNNNNNNNNNNNNNNNNNNNNNNNNNNNNNNNNNNNNNNNNNNNNNNNNNNNNNNNNNNNNNNNNNNNNNNNNNNNNNNNNNNNNNNNNNNNNNNNNNNNNNNNNNNNNNNNNNNNNNNNNNNNNNNNNNNNNNNNNNNNNNNNNNNNNNNNNNNNNNNNNNNNNNNNNNNNNNNNNNNNNNNNNNNNNNNNNNNNNNNNNNNNNNNNNNNNNNNNNNNNNNNNNNNNNNNNNNNNNNNNNNNNNNNNNNNNNNNUAGUUGGCCAGACAAAACCCACAACUCGAAGAGAAUUACAAGGAUAUGAAAUCAUGCAUAAGAGAGAUCAGAAGAAACUCAAAUAAGAUUCAUAUAUAAUCUGAUCAUAAAUUCACAAUUCAUCGGAUCUCGACAAACACACCGCAAAAGAAGAUUACAUCGGAUAGAUCUCCAUGAAGAUCAUGGAGAACUUUGUAUUGAAGACCCAAGAGAGAGAAGAAGACAUCUAGUUACUAGCUAUGGACCCGUAGGUCUAUGGUGAACUACUCACGCAUCAUCCGAGAGGUCAUGGUGUUGAUGAAGAAGCCCUCCGUAUCUGAAUCUCCCCUCCGGCAGGGCACCAGAACGUGCCCCAGAUGGGAUCUUGCUGAAACAGAAGCUUGCGGAGGCGAAAAAGUACUUUCGAUGAUCUCCUGAUUUUUUUGGGAUUUUUAGGGAAUUUACAGACGCAACCCCUAGGGCAGAGGGCGCCCAGGGGGCCCACAAGCCUGUGGGCCACGGCCUCCCCCUGGCCGCGGGGUGGGUGCUUGUGGGGACCUUGAGGCUCCCGUGCCUUGGCUCUCAAGCUUCCCGAUCUUCUUCCGUUCCGGAAAAAAUCUUUUCGGGGAUUUUCUUCCGUUGGACUCCGUUUCAAAAUCUCCUCUGAAAGGGGUCAAAAACAUGGAAAAAACAGGAACUCGCACUUGGCACUGAGUUAAUAAGGUAGUCCCAAAAAAUAUAUAAAAGGCAUGCAUAACAUCCAAAGUUUGACAAGAUAAUAGCAUGAAACCAUCAAAAAUUAUAGAUACGUUGGAGACGUAUCACUGUUCCACUACAUCAACCGCGUUUCUUAAUGCUUCCCGCUUAGCAAUCUACAAGGGUAUGUGGAUCCGAUCUCCCUCUCGUAGAUGAACAUGACCAUGAUAGGUCUUUGUGUGCGUAGGAAAUUUUUGUUUCCCAUGCAACGUUUCCCAACAGUGGCAUCAGGAGCUAGGUUCAUGCGUAGAUGUAAUCUCGAGUAGAACACAAAAGUUUUUGUGGAUGUUGAUGUUCGAUUUUCUGCCCUCCUUAGUCUUUUCUCGAUUCGUCGGUAUUGUUGAAUUGAAGCGGCCCGGACCAACAUUACUCGUACGCUUACAAGAGACCGGUUUCAUCGACUAACAUGCAACUUGUUGCAUAAAGAUGACCGGCGGGUGCCCGUUUCUUCAACUUUAGUUGAAUUGGAUUUGACCGAGGCGCUCCUUGGAGAGAGGUUAAAUAGCAAUUUGCACAUCUCCGUUGUGGUUUUGCGUAAGUAAGAUGAGAUCAUACUAGAUACUCAUAGCAGCCACGUAAAACAUGCAACAACAAAUUAUAGGACGUGUUACUUGUUUUUGCAGGGUAUGCACGUGAUGUGAUAUGGCCAAAUACAUGAUAUGAUAUAUCGGAUGUAUGAGAUGGUCAUGUUGUAAUAGUUAAAUAUCGACUGCACAUCGAUGCUAUGGCAACCGACAUGAGCCAUAGGGUUGUCUUUAAACUAACGUUUGUGUUUGCAGAUGCGUUUACUAUAUUGCUAGGUUGUAGAUUUAGUAGUAAUAGCAUAGGUAGCACGACAACCUCGAUAGCGGCACGAUGUUGGAGAUCAUGGUGUGGUGCCGGUGAUGAUGAAGAUCAUGCCGGUGCUUUGGUGAUGGAGAUCAAGAAGCACAAGAUCAUGGCCAUAUCAUGUCACUUAUGAAAUUGCAUGUGAUGUUAAUCCUUUUAUGCACCUUAUCUUGCUUAGAACGACGGUAGCAUUAUAAGGUGAUCCCUCACUAAAAUUUCAAGAUAAAAUUGUGUUCUCCCCGACUGUGCACCGUUGCGACAGUUCGUCAUUUCGAGACACCACGUGAUGAUCGGGUGUGAUAGACUCAACGUUCACAUACAACGGGUGCAAAAUAGUUGCACACACGGAACACUCGGGUUAAACUUGACGAGCCUAGCAUGUGUAGACAUGGCCUCGGAACACAAAAGAUCGAAAGGUCGAGCAUGAAUCAUAUAGUUGAUAUGAUCAACAUGGAGAUGUUCACCACUGAAACUAUACUCAACUCACGUGACGAUCGGACUUGAGUUAGUGGAUUUCGAUCAUGCACCACUCAAAUGACUAGAGGGAUGUCUAUUUGAGUGGGAGUUAUUAGUAAUAUGAUGAGCUAAACUCAAUUAUCAUGAACAUAGUCAAAAGGUCUGUGCAAAUUAUGUUGUAGCUUGCGCUAUAGCUCUACUGUUUUUAGAUAUGUUCCUAGAGAAAAUUUAGUUGAAAGAUGAUAGUAGCAAUUAUGCGGACUGGAUGCGUAAACUGAGGAUUGUCCUCAUUGCUGUGCAGAAGGCUUAUGUCCUUAAUGCACCGCUCAGUGUGCUGAACCUCGAGCAUCGUCUAUGGAUGUUGCGAACAUUUGACAUACACGUUUUUGAUGACUACGUGAUAGUUCAGUGCGUAAUGCUUAACGACUUAGAAUUGGGGCACCGAAGAUGUUUUGAAACGUCACGAACAUAUGAGAUGUUCCAAGAGAUGAAAUUGGGAUUUCAUGCUCGUGCCCUUGUUAAGAGGUAUGAGACCUCCUACAAGAUUCUUUGUCUACAAAGUAAGGGAGAAAAGCUCAAUCGUUGAGCAUGUGCUCAGAUUGUCCGAGUGCUACAAUCGCUUGAAUCGAGUGGGAGUUGAUCUUCCAGAUGAGAUAAUGAUGGUUCUCCAAAGUCACUGCCACCAAGCUACUAGAGCUUCGUGAUGAACUAUAACAUAUCAAGGAUACAUAUGAUGAUCCUUGAGCUAUUCGCAAUGUUUGACACUGCGAAAGUAGAAAUCAAGUAGGAGCAUCAAUUGUUGAUGGUUAGUAAAACCACUAGUUUCAAGAAAGGGCAAGGGUAAAAAGGGAUACUUUAUGAAAUGGCAAAAUAGUUGCUGCUCUAGUGAAGAAACCCAGGGUUGAACCCAAACCCGAGACUAAGUGCUUCUGUUAUGAGGGAAACGGUCACUGAGGCGGAAGUACCCUAGAUACUUGGUAGAUGAGAAGGCUGGCAAUGUUGACAAAAGUAUAUUGGAUAUACCUGAUAUUGAUGUGUACCUUACUAGUAUUCCUGGUAGCACCAGGGUAUUAGAAACCGAUUCAGUUGUUAAGUGUUAGUGACUCGAAGUUAUAGCUAUGGAUUAAAAGGAUACUAGCAAGUGUGAGGUGACGAUGUGUGUUGGAACUAAUUCUAAGGUUGAUGUGAUCAAACAUCGCAUGCUCCCUCUACCAUCGGGAUUGGUGUUAAACCUAAAUAAUUGUUAUUUGGUGUUUGCGUUGAGCAUGAGCAUGAUUGGAUCAUGUUUAUUGCAAUACGAUUAUUCAUUUAAAGAGAAUAAUGGUUGUUCUAUUUGCUUGAAUAAUUACCUUCAAUGGUUUAUUGAAUCUCGAUCGUAGUGCUACACAUGUUCAUAAUAUUGAUGCCAAAAGAUACAAAGUAGUAAUGAUAGCACCACUUACUUGUGGCACUGCCACUUGAGUCAUGUUGGUAUAAAAUGCAUGAAGAAGCUCCAUGCUGAUGGAUCUUUAUACUCACUCAUUUUUGAAACAUUUGAGACAUGCAAACCAUACCUAUUGGUAUGAACGCAUGAAGAAACUCCAUGUAGAUGGAUCGUUUGGACUCACUUGAUUUUGAAUCGCUUGAGACAUGCAAAUCAUACCACAUGGGCAAGAUGACUGAAGGCCUCGUUUUUCCAAUGAGAUGGAACAAGAAAGUGACUUGUUGGAAGUAAUACAUUCUUUAUGUGCAUAGUCCAAUGAGUGCUGAGGCACGCAGUGGAUAUCGUUAUGUUCUUAUUUCACUGUCGAUUUGAGUAGAUAUAGGAGUAUUUACUUGAUGAAUCACAAGUGUGAAAUAUUGAAAAGUUCAAAGCUAUUCCAGAGUGAAGAUCGUCGUGACAAGAGGAUAAACGGUCUACGAUAUGAUCAUAGAGAUGAAUAUUUGAGUUGCGAGUUUUGGUACACAGUUAAGACAAUGUGGAAAUUGUUUCACAAUUCAUGCCACCUAUAACACCAUAGUGUGAUGGUGUGUCCGAAUGACAUAGCCGCGCCCUAUUGGAUAUAGCGCAUACUAUGAUGUCUCUUAUCGAAAUACCACUAUUGUUUUGGGUUAGACAUUAGAGAUAACCGCAUUCACUUUAAAUAGGGCACCGCGUAUUCCGUUGAGAUGACACCGUAUGAACUAUUGUUUGGAGAAACCUAAGUUGUCAUUUCUUAAAGGUUUGGGGCUGCGAUGCUUAUGUGAAAAUUUUCAGCAUGAUAAGCUCGAACCCAAAGCGGAUAAAUGCAUCUUCAUAGGACAUCCAAAACAGUUCGGUAUACCUCCUAUCUCACAUCCGGAAGCAAAGUAUUUGUUUCUGGAAACGGGUUCUUUCUCGAGGAAAAGUUUCUCUCGAAAGAAUUGAGUGGGAGGGUGGUGGAACUUGAUGAGGUUAUUGAACCAUCACUUCAACAAGUGUGUAGCAGGGCGCAGGAAGUUGUUCAUGUGACGCCUAUGCCAAUUGAAGUGGAAACUGAUGAUAGUGAUCAUUAAGCUUCAGAUCAAGUUACUAAAAACCUCGUAGGUCGACAAGGUCGCUUACUGCUACAGAGUAGUGCAGUAACCCUGCCUUGGAGGUCAUGUUGUUGAACAACAAUGAACCUACGAGCUAUGGAGAAGCGAUGGUGGGCCCGGAUUCCGGCAAAUGGCUGGAGGCCAUGAAAUCCGAGAGAGGAUACAUGUAUGAAAACAAAGUGUAGACUUUGGAAGAACUACUUGAUGGUCGUAAAACUAUUAAGUAAAUAUGGAUCUUUAAAAGGAAGACAGACGAUGAUGGUGAAAAGUCACCAUUAAGAAAAGCUCGACUUGUCGCAAAGAUGUUUCCGACAAGUUCAAAGAGUUGACUAUGAUGAGACUUUCUCACUCAUAGCGAUGCUAAAAGUAUGUUGGAAUUAUGUAAGCGGUUGCUACAUUAUUUAUGAAAUAUUGCACAUAGGAUGUCAAAACAUUGUUUCCUCGACGUUUCCUUGAGGAAAGGUUGUAUGUGAUACAACGAGAAGGUUUUGUCGAUCCUAAGGAUGCUAACAAGUAUGCAAGCUCCAGCGAUCCUUCUAUGGACUGGUUCAAGCAUCUCAGAGUUGGAAUAUACGCUUUGAUGAGAUGAUCAAAGCUUUUGGGUUUAUACAAGUUAUAUGAGAAACUUGUAUUUCCAAAGAAGUGAGUGGGAGCACUAUAGAAUUUUUGAUAAGUAUAUGUGGUUGACAUAUUGUUGAUCGGAAGUAAUGUAGAAUUUAUGCAAAGCAUCAAGGGUUGUUUGAAAGGAUUUUUUCAAAGGAAAACCUGGAUAGAGCUACUUAAACAUUGAGCAUCAAGAUCUAUAGAGAUAGAUCAAAAUGCUAAAUAGAACUUUCAAUGAAAUGCAUGCCUUGACAAGUUUUUGAAGGAGUCCAAAAUAGAUCAGCAAAGAAGGAGUUCUUGGCUGUGUUGUAAGGUGUGAAUUUGAGUAAGACUCAAAGCCCGACCACGGGAGAAGAAAGAUAAAGGACGAAGGUAGUCCCCAAUGCCUUAGCCGUAUGCUCUAAAGUAUGCCAUGUUGUGUACCACACGUGAUGUGUGCCUUGCCGUAAGUCUGUCAAGGGGUACAAAGAGUGAUCCAGGAUUGAAUCACUGAACAACGGUCAAAGUUAUCCUUAGUAACUAAUGGACUAAGGAUUUUUUUCUCGAUUAUGGAGGUGGUUAAAGAGUUCAUCGUAAAGUCUUACGUCGAUGCAAGCUUUGACACUAAUCCGAAUAACUCAAAGGAGUAAAGCGGAUUCGUAUAGUGGAGCAGUCAUUUGGAAUAGUUCCAAAUGGCACGUAGUAGCAGCAUCUACAUGAUAACAUAGAGAUUUGUAAAGCACACACAGAUCUGGAAGGUUCACACUCGUUGACUAAAACCUCUCUCACAAGCAAGACGUGAUCAAACCCCAGAACUGUAUGGGUGUUGGAUUUGUUAAAAUCCCAUAGUGAUGUGAACUAGAUUACUGACUCUAGUGCAAGUGGGAGACUAUUGGAAAUAUGCCCUAGAGGCAAUAAUAAAUUAGUUAUUAUUAUAUUUCUUUGUUCAUGAUAAUCGUUUAUUAUCCGUGCUAUAAUUGUAUUGAAUGAAAACAUAAAUGCAUGUGUGGAUAUACUGACAAAACAAUGUCCCUAGUAAGCCUAUAGUUGACUAGCCACUUGAUCAAGGAUGGUUAAGGUUUUCUAACCAUAUGCAAGUGUUGUCACUUGAUGACUGGAUCACGUCAUUGGGAGAAUGAUGUGAUGGACAAGACCCAAACUAUAAACGUUGCAUGUGAUCGUGUCAUUUUGUUGCUAUUGUUUUCUGCGUGUCAAGUAUUCAUUCCUAUGACCAUGAGAUCAUGUAACUCACUGACACCGGAGGAAUACCUUGUGUGUAUCAAACAUCGCAACGUUACUGGGUGACUAUAAAGGUGCUCUACAGGUAUCUCCGAAGGUGUCCGUUGAGUUAGCAUGGAUCAAGACUGGGAUUUGUCACUCCAUGUGAUGGAGAGGUAUCUCGGGGCCCACUCAGUAAUACAACAUCACAUAUAAGCCUUGCAAGCAAUGUGACUCAAGUGUUAGUCAUGGGAUCUUGUAUUACGGAACGAGUAAAGAGACUUGCCGGUAACGAGAUUGAAAUAGGUAUAGGGAUACCGACGAUCAAAUCUCGGGCAAGUAACAUAUCGAAGGACAAAGAGAAUGGUGUACGGGAUUACAUGAAUCCUUGGCACAGAGGUUCAGGUCAUGUCUGCACAAUUCUCGAACCCGAAGGGUCUGCACACUUAAGGUUCGGUGACGUUUUGGUAUAGUUGAGUUAUAGGUAUUGGUGACCGAAGGUCUGUUCGGAGUCCCGAAUGAGAUCACGAAUGUCACGAGGGUUUCCGGAAUGGUCCGGAAACGAACAUUGAUAUAUAGAAUUAAUUUAUUUGGCCUCCGAAAAGAUUUCAGGCAUUACCGGUAGUGUACCGGGAAUGACGAAUGGGUUCCGGGUUUUUAUCGGGAGGGCCCCAUCGAUCAAGUAGAAAGAAAAAAAGGAAAGAAAGAAAAAAGGAAAGAAAGAAAAAAAGGAGGUGGGAAGGAAGGAAGGGACUCCUCCCUCCAAACCGACUUGUAGGAGGAUCCCUCCUCCCUUCGGCGGGCGCCCCAAGGGAAAGCCCUACCCCUUGGCUCCUCCUAUAUAUACUUGAGGUUUAGGGCUUUUGAGACACAAAUUUGCCACGUGCAACCCUAAACCUCUACUUCGUAGUUCUUCCUCUAUAUCGGUUUUCUGCGGAGCUCAAGCGGAGCCCUGCAGGAAUAGAUCAUCACCAUCACCGGCGCGUCUUCACGUUGCCGGAGAACUCAUCUACAUCCCCGUCUCUCUUGCUGGAUCAAGAAGGCGGAGAUCUUCAUCGAGCUGUACGUGUGCUGAAUGCGGAGGUGCCUGAUGUCAACUGUUCUUCCCCUGCAACGACACCAAAAGAAUGCUACUAGCACUCCCCGGCAACGAAACUAGAAGAAUCUUGUUGAUGGCCCACCAGCGCGUGGGUUCGCAACAGUUUUCGAUGGUAGAGUAUUCGACCCAAAUUUGUUGGUACGCCAGACAGGAGGUGAGAGAAUACUCUUGAGUAUUAGCAGCUUAAUUCGUCAGAUUCAACCACACCUGAAAGAUUAGUAUCUGCAAGCAAAGUAGUAACAACAAAGUAGUAUGAUAACAACUGUGUCAGAAACAAUCUGUUGACGGCAGACUAUUCCUAACGAUUGUAUCAAUGGCGCCAAGUUGCCUCGUAGACGGAAAUUAUCAGUUCCCGUCAACGACCAACGAUCAAGACUGUAGCAGGUAGCAGCAGUGUAACGAGUUAUAGCCGUGGCAAGGGACAACAGUAGUGACAGCAGGAGCAAGUAGCAAUAGUAACGAGCGACAGUAGUAGCAACAGUAGCAGCAGAGCAAGACAAGUAACAGCAGCAGAGCAAGACAAGUAACAGCAGCAGCAACAGCAGCAGUAGGACAAACUCNAAGCAUUAAGCAUGGCAAAGUAGUAGCAACAUCAAUCUCAGAACGUAGUGGAUACUAGGGAUCAAUCCCCAUCAAAACUAACUCGAUUACAUGAUAGAUCUUAUCCUACUCAUCAUCGCCCAGCGAUCCUACGAAUAGAUUACUCACGAACGACGAAGAGCUUCAUGGAAUUGGAGAGGGAAGAAGGUUGAUGACGACGAUGGCGACGAUUUCCCCUCUCCGGAGCCCAAGACGGACUCAAGAUCUGCCCUCCAUAUGAAGAACAGGUGGCGACGGCGCCUCCGUAUCGCAAACGCGACGAAAACUUCUUUCUUUUAAUUUUUUCUGGGACGAAAGCGAACUUAUAGUCCUGGAAUUGGGGGCGGCAGAGCCGUGUGGGCCCCACAAGCCUGCCCACCGCCACCAGGGGGGUGGUGGCGGAGCCAGGGCUUGUAGCCCACUGGCCAACCCCCUCAGGUGGAACUUGGCGCAGAUAUUUUUCAUAUUUUCCGUAAAUGAUCUCCGUAAAUUUUCAGCACGUUUGGAGAACUUUGAUUUCUGCACAAAAAAACACCAAGGCAAUCUGCUGAAAACAGCGUCAGUCCAGGUUAGUUCCAUUCAAAUCAUGCAAAUUAGAGUCCAAAACAAGGGCAAAAGAGUUUGGAAAAGUAGAUACGAUGGAGACGUAUCAACUCCCCCAAGCUUAAAACCUUGCUUGUCCUCAAGCAACUCAGUUGACAAACUGAGAGAGAAAGAAAAACUUUGACAAACUCUGUUUGAUCUUGAUGUUGCAACUAUGUCUAACUCAUAACCAGAAUUUCAGCAAGAUCACAAGUUAACCACAUAAGCAAGUGACACGAAGGUCUCAUGGUAAACUAAUAUCAAUGGCAUAAUCAUCUAACGAGCAAAUAAUAAUGAGUUUAAAAUACCAACACUUCAAUCAAAACAAGUCUGAAGCAAUAUGAAUAGGUGGUAUCUCGCUAGCUCUUUCUGUGCCGCAAAACAUAAAUGCAGAGCACUUUCAAAGAUCAAGGGCUGACUAAACAUUGUAAUUCAUAGCAACGAAGAUCCAGUCAUAGUCAUACUCAAUAUCAAUCAAAAGCAAAGCAUAAAAAUGACAGAGGUGCUCUCUAAUUGGUGCUUAUAUAAGAGGAGGAUGACUCGACAGGAAAAUAAAUAGACAGGCCCUUCGCAGAGGGAAGCAUUGAUUUGCAGAGGUGCCACAGCUCAAGCUUUGAAAACAGAGAUAAUAAUUUUGGGUGGCAUGCUUUCAUUGUCAACGCAAUGACCAAGAGUUCUCAAUAUCUUCCAUGCUACUCAUGCUAUAGGCGGUUCCCAAACAGAAAAGUAAAGUUUUAACUCCCCCACCACCAAUCAAUCACACUCCACGGCUAGCCGAAUCCUCGGGUACCGUCCAUACUAACAUCAAUCCGGGGGGAGUCUUGUUUUACAGUUAUGUUCUCGAGUUAAGCGUGGAACUGGGCAUUCCAAUUACUGGCCCCUUUCUCGUGAAUGACAGUGUAUAAACCUUUGUCGAGGAUAACACUCCUAGCAUGGAAGAUACCAAUAGCCCCCUGUCACCACAUGAGCGGUUCGGGCAAGCAAAACAGAUUAUUUCUUGAAGGUUUAGAGAGUGGCACAUGCAAAUUUACUUGGAACGGCAGAUAGAUACCGCAAAUAGGUAGGUAUGGUGGACUCUCAUGGAAAAACUUUUGGGUUUAUGGAAGUGUAUGCACAAGCAGUAUUCCGCUUAGUACAAGUGAAGGCUAGCAAAAUACUGGGAAUCGACCAACUAGAGAGCGACAACAGUCAUCAAGAUGCAAUGAGUUUGACUAACAUUGAAUGCAAGCAUGAACAGGAUAUAAAUCACCAUGAACACGAACAUCAUAGAGGCUAUGUUGAUUUUGUUUCAACUACAUGCAUGAACAUGCGCCAAGUCAAGCCACUUGAAACAUUCAAAGGAGAAUACCAUCCUAUCAUACUACAUCAUAGUCAUCUCAAAAUCUAUGUUGGCAUUCAAGACAAACCAUUAUAAGCUCUCAGCUAAAUAAGCAUGGCAUCAGAAACUAUGAUCUCUAAGUUGUCAUUGUAAACAUGGUUCUCUCACAACAAAGCUGAAUGUGGGUUGACAAGCUAAUCAUAUUUACAAAAACAAAAUGGAUAGAGUUCAUACCAGCUUUUCAGUCUCAGUCACUUCAUCAUAUAUCAUCAUUGUUGCCUUUCAUUUGCACGAUCGAACGACGUGAACAAUAAUAAGAGUGGCCGUGCAUUGGACCAAGCUGAAUCUGCAGGCAAACACAAAGUAGAAGAAAAAGUAAUAUGGCUCUUUUGAAAGCUAAACAGGCAAGCAUGCAAGAACCACUAAGCAUUGGAACCAAUAUCUUCUACCUUGACACAAAGAAAAAGAAAACUAUUUACACGGGAAAGCUCCCAACAAGCAAAAGAAGAAAGAAAAAUCUUUUUGGGUUUUCUCAAAAGGACACAAAACAAGAAAACAAGAAAACCAAAAAAACUAGCAUGGAUAAUACAGUGGCAAAUUGUAAACACCGGCUAUCAAGGUGAAAGCAUAAGCAUGAAUUUAAAGUCGGUGAGAACACGUACUCCCCCAAGCUUAGGCUUUUGGCCUAGCUUGAUCUACUCCCAUGGGUGAUCCUGGCGAAACCCAAAGUCAUAAUGGGUGUUAUACGGGAGUGCUGCAGCCACUGCCUGAAUAGCUUCCUCACGAAGUCGAGCAGUCGUCGCCUCCCUCUCAUACUUAUCUGCCUCUCCUAUGGUUAUGUAGUAUCUUCGUUUUACCUGAAAGUCAAAGAAAGCAGGAGCAGGAAGGGUAGUAUGGAAACACGCUGCCGGUUAAAUAUCAAGCGGUAUAGGAGGGAUCCAUGAUCUCUCUCAAGGAACUGGUAGCGCGUUAGAGCGACACGAUCAAGGUAGGUUGUACGGAGAGGAGGGUCUUCUCGAUGAAUGGAUACUCCAAGAAAAUUUGCUAAGCGUGUAGCAUAAACUCCACCAAAGAAAUCCCCCUCACUAGCAUUUUUAUUUAGCCUCCUUGCUAUUAUAGCUCCCAUAUUGAAGCUCAUGCCACCUGUUACUGCGCUCUUGAGGAUACUAAGGUCGGAAGCACAUAGGUGACAAUGUGCACCCUUGCCGUUAAUGCACCUACCUAUGAAGAGGGCAAGGUAGUGCAAGGCAUGGAAAUGGACGCUUCCUAUGGUGGCUUGUGUGAUAUCUCUGGUUUCUCCAACAGUUAUACUAGAGACAAAGUCUCUGACUAAAGACUUAGAAGGAUCAUUAAUACUACCCCCAUCGGGUAUCUUGCAAAUUCUAUUGAAAUCCUCCAAAUCCACGGUAUAGGAUUUAUCGUACAGAUCAAACAGUAUGGAUGAGUCACGGCCAACUGAGAAUUUAAAUCUACGCACGAAAGAGGCAGUGAGCAUAGCAUACUGUUCACAUUUAUCUGAGAGGAAUUCUUCUAACCCGGCAUUGCGGACAAGUGUGUCAAACUCAUCAUUGAAACCUGCUUCGAUCAUGAACUCAUCGGAAGGCCAUUCACAUGGUUGUACCGGUGCGUCCCUUAGUUGAAAAGUUUCGGGCUCCCGAAAAGAAAGACGGGGACCCUUCUUACUUGAGGAACCACCAUGAAACUUCCUCCUGGACAUAAUUUCCUUUUGCUGAAUUUUUGAAGUUCAAGAGAAAAGUGAAUGAAGACCAACCAUACCUUGUAGCAACUACUCCUACUAGUGCCUAGAGACCGUAUAACGCGCUAAAACUACUUGGGACUAGCUAAAAUCAACAUUUCUAGCUCAAGAACAGGGUCACCAAGGUAGCAAGAAUACGCGAAGGAUAAAGCACUAGAGCAAAAACUCAUUGGACCAAUGGAGGAGUCACUUACCAAGGAGUAAUUUCCCAAAACGGUUCGGAGAAUGUUGCUUUGAGCAAGGAGAUCGAAAAUCACAGCCAAAUGAGCAAGAACACGGGUUUGAGCUGCGAAACAAUUUUUUCUGGAGGUGGAAGAAGAGGCUGGGAGCUGGAAUGAGUGGAGGGGGUCCCUGUGGGCCCCCACAAGCUUGCACUCCGCCCACUGGUCUAGCCCCCAGGCCAGCUCUCAGGCCUAGUAAUUUUAAAAAAUUCCAGAAAAAAUCAUACUAAAUUUUCAGGACCAUCGGAGAACUUUUAUUUUCGUGGUAUUUUUCUCCGGGACGCUAAAACAGAAAACAGGAAAAACUAAACUAAUUCUAUCAUUUUUCUUCUAAGCAACAAAAAAUGAAAGCUUAAAACAGAGGUAUGUGACUCUUUGAUUCAUCCGUUUCAUGGUCAAAGAAAGAAAUACGUCAAUGGGGUUGAUCAAGUCCUCAUGACAAAACCUUCUCGAAUCGCAAGAGAGAACGGAAAAUUUUCUAAUAGCCACUAAGUCACCUCAAUGGGGAUACGUAUCUCCCCAACAAGCAAAUCAUACUUCAUCUUGACUCGAGGAAUAGGGCAUUCAAAGCUCCCAAUAAGAAUCGAUGAAGUCUUUUCGAUAGCAUUGAUGCAAUGUACUUGAUAUAGUUUCUUCGGAAAGUGCACUGUGUGGUCAUUACUGUUGACAUGGAAAGUGACAUUGCCUUUGUUGCAAUCUAUAACAGCCCCUGCAGUGUUUAAAAAGGGUCUUCCGAGGAUGACAGCCAUGGCAUCGUCCUCGGGAAUAUCCAAGAUAACAAAGUCUGUUAAGAUAGUGGUGUUAGCAACCACAACAGGCACAUCCUCGCAAAUGCCGAUAGGGAAAGCAGUUGAUUUGUCGGCCAUUUGCAGAGAAAUUUCAGUGGGUGUCAACUUAUCCAAUUCAAGUCUACGAUAAAGAGAGAGCGGCAUAACACUAACACCGGCUCCAAGGUCACAUAAGGCAGUUCUUACGUAGUUUCCUUUAAUGGAGCAAGGUAUAGUGGGCACUCCGGGAUCACCAAAUUUCUUAGGAGUUCCAUCUUUGAAAGUGUAAUUGGCAAGCAUGGUGGAGAUAUCAAGAUCUGGUAUCUUCCGUUUAUUAGUCACGAUAUCUUUCAUGUACUUGGCAUGCGGAGACAUCUUGAGCAUAUCAGUUAACCGCAUCUGCAGAAAGAUGGGUCUUAUCAUCUCAACGAAGCGCUCAAAAUCCUCAUCAUCCUUUUUCUUGGAUGGCUUAGGAGGGAAGGGCAUAGGUCUCCGAACCCAUGGCUUCCUUUCUUUACCAUGCUUCCUAGCAGUGAAGUCAUUCUUAUCGUAUUUCUUAGGUUGUGGGUUAUCAGGAUUAACCAUAGGUUCAAUCUCCACAUCCUCAUCAUUGCUAGGUUGAGCAUUAUUAUGAACAUCACUGUCCAUAUUGUCACCAGGUUCAUGUUCAUCACGAGAUUGUGUUUCUGCAUCAAACGCAGAAAUAUCAUUAGGUUCUUCCGGUGUGACAGUAUCUGGUGAACUGGCAUGUAGGUUUCUAUCAUCCUUCUUCUUCUCCUUAGGAUGACUGGGUGUAUCAGCAUUGAUUCCUUGAGAAUCUUGAUCAAUUCUCUUAGGGUGGCCUUCAGGAUACAAAGGUUCCUGAGUCAUUUUGCCUCCUCUAGUAAUGACUCUGACAACGUUGUCAUUUAAUUCAUUGAGCUGGUCAUUCUGAGCUUUAAGUACUUGUUCUACCUGAGUAGUAAUCAUAGAGGCAUGUUUACUUAGAAGCUUCAGAUCAUUGACAUUUUUGUCUACACAAGCACUUAAAUGGCUAAGCAUACGAGUACUUUGUUCCAAAUGUGUGCUAACAUAAUCAUUGAAACUCUGUUGUUUGGCAACAAAGUUGUCAAAUUCAUCAAAGCAUAGGCUAGCUGGUUUGUCAAAAGGAAUAUCACUCUCAUCAAACCUACGCAGCGAAUUCACUUCUACUACCUGUAUCGGGUUAUUGAGACCAUGGAUCUCUUCGAUAGGUGGUAGAUUUUUGACAUCUUCAGAUCUAAUGCCUUUCUAUUGCAUAGAUUUCUUGGCUUCUUGCAUAUCUUCAGGACUGAGGAAUAGAAUACCUCUUUUCUUCGGAGUUGUCUUAGGAGGUGGUUCGGGAAUAGUCCAAGCAUUAUCGUUGAUCAAGAUGUUAUUUAGUAGGGUCUCAGCUUGUUCUACAGUUCGUUCCCUAAAAACACAACCGACACAACUAUCUAGGUGGUCUCUAGAGGCAUCGGUAAGCCCGUUAUAGAGGAUAUCAAGUAUCUCGUUCUUCUUAAGAGGGUGAUCACACAAAGCAUUCUGUAGCUGGACGAGCCUCCCCCAAGCUUGUGGAAGACUCUCUUCUUGGAGUUGAGCAAAGUUGUAUAUUUCCUGCAAGGCAGCUUGCUUCUUAUGGGCAGGGAAAUAUUUCUCACAGAAGUAAUAGACCAUCUCCCGGAGACUACUCACACAUCUAGGAGUAAGAGAGGUGAACCAGAUUUUAGCGUCAUCCUUUAGAGAGAAAGGAAACAACUUAAGGAUAUAGUAGUGACGGAUCUUCUCCUCAUUAGUGAAAAGGGUGGCUAUAUCGUGUAGUUUGGCAAGAUGGGCUACGACCGUCUCAGACUCAUAACCGUGAAAAGUAUCAGAUUCGACUAGAGAGAUUAUCUCAGGAUCGACACAGAAUUCAUAAUACUUAUCGGUGAUAAAGAUAGGUGAAGUGGCAAACUUCGGGUCAUAUUUCAUCUUAACUUUCAGAGAUUUUUCCUUCCACUUGAGAAGUAAUUUCUCAGCAUCAUAGGCAUCCUUACACGCAAGAAAAUCCUCAUCUAUCUCUCCCUCCAUAACGUAACCCUCAGGUAUACCAGGCAAUUCAUAUCUAGGAGAGCUAGAUCUAGCAGGAGCAAAAGUAGGUUCUAUGUCAAUAGUAUCGGCAGUUUCAGAAGCAUCACGAGCAUUGGCAGUAACUCUAGCAAUAUGAGCAUCAAGGAACACCCCUAGUGGAACAUCAGGAAAAAUAGCAUCUCUAGCAUCAUCAAGCAUAGUAUCAUCAGGCAUAGCAUCUCUAGCAGUAUCAGGCAUAGCAGUAUCAGGCAUAGUAUCAAGCAUAGCAUCAUCAAGCAUAGUAUCAAGCAUAGUAUCAAGCAUAGCAUCUCUAGCAGUAUUAGGCAUAGGAGUAUCAGGCAUAGCAUCAAGCAUAGUAUCAAGCAUAGUAUCUCUAGCAGUAGCAUCAUAAGCAUCAUCAAGCACCGACGACAUAUCAAGAUUUCUAGCAGGAGGUGGUGUCGCAAACUUACUCAUAACUGAAGGUGAAUCAAGUGCAGAGCUAGAUGGCAAUUCCUUACCUCCCCUCGUAGUUGAGGGCAAGACUUUGGUCUUUGGAUCCUCCAGAUUCUUCAUAGUGAUCAGCAGAUAUAAAUCCCAAGUGACUCAGAGAAUAUAGCAAUACCUCCCCGGCAACGGCGCCAGAAAAAUGCUUGAUGUCAAUUGUUCUUCCCCUGCAACGACACCAAAAGAAUGUUGCUAGCACUCCCCAGCAAGGAAACUAGAAGAAUGUUGUUGAUGGCUCACCAGCGCGUGGGUUCGCAUCAGUUUUCGAGGGUAGAGUAUUCGACCCAAAUUUGUUGGUACGCCAGACAGGAGGUGAGAGAAUACUCUCGAGUAUUAGCAGCUGAAUUCGUCAGAUUCAACCACACCUGAAAGAUUAGUAUCUGCAAGCAAAGUAGUAACAGCAAAGUAGUAUGAUAACAAUCGUGUCAGAAACAAUCUGUUGACUGCAGACUAUUCCUAACGAUUGUAUCAAUUGCGCCAAGUUGCCUCGUGGACGGAAAUUGUCAGUUCCCGUCAACGACCAACGAUCAAGAUUGUAGCAGGUAGCAGCAAUGUAACGAGUAAUAGAAGUGGCAAGGGACAACCGUAGUGACAGCAGUAGCAAGUAGCAAUAGUAACGAGCGACAGUAGUAGCAACAGUAGCAGCAGAGCAAGACAAGUAACAACAGCAGAGCAAGACAAGUAACAACAGAAGCAACAAUAGCAGUAGGACAAACUCNNNNNNNNNNNNNNNNNNNNNNNNNNNNNNNNNNNNNNNNNNNNNNNNNNNNNNNNNNNNNNNNNNNNNNNNNNNNNNNNNNNNNNNNNNNNNNNNNNNNCCACUGUGCUGGAAAGAAUCCAUCCCCAACCAUAGGACCGAUGGUCUCAUCGAGGAAGGAUCCGAAGAAUCUUUGUUCAACGUCGUCAUCGUCACCCUCGAAGCCAAGAUGAUGAACAAAACCUAGACUACGAAGACUAAAAACGGAAUUGUUCACUCCUUUGUACUGUAUACUUUUGCUCUAGUGAUUCCGUGGAGUACAACAUAAGGCUUCGCCGUGUGCUACUGAUUCGAGUGUGAUUGAAGACCUACUGGUGUCCAGGAUUCAGUACUAGUACUACGUGGAAAUCUACUGCUGUCUGGAAAGAAUUGUGCUCGGCUGACUAGCUGAAGCCUGAGUACAAAUUCCGAAGAGAAAAAACACUACGUCCUUCAUGACGGCCUGGAAUUUUUAGUCGAUGCAGAGCAAUGUUACACGCCAGAUGAAGAAAAUUAAUAAAUCGAUUGAAAUACUACUAAACAUUCCUAAAUUUGUACUCAGGGUUCAGCUUGUCGAAAAAUUUAUCCAAACAUGACAAAAAGGAAAUAAAAAUUAACGCUGAACCCAAUAGAUGCACAGCAGUGACGCUUGUUGAUAUAUUAAGAAUGUUCAACAGCGAAACAGGACAGCGUUCAGAUGUCUUGCUCUGUUCGUUACAAUCAUGCAUAGAUGAUAUGUGUAGGAACUAAUCCCGGUGUUACAUCUGUAAUCUUGAGUGUAAAAAUACAUCAACCCAUGCAGGGCAACAGUUCCUGCGUGCAGCAGCGAUGCUUGGCAGGAUCACACAC
Molecule: long non-coding RNA, 46583 nt
Filed under: Hordeum vulgare
Lineage: Eukaryota; Viridiplantae; Streptophyta; Magnoliopsida; Poales; Poaceae
Description: long non-coding RNA (HVUL_LNC020126)
Source: RNAcentral